Molecule: long non-coding RNA, 47520 nt
Filed under: Malus domestica (apple)
Lineage: Eukaryota; Viridiplantae; Streptophyta; Magnoliopsida; Rosales; Rosaceae
Description: long non-coding RNA (MDOM_LNC002892)
Source: RNAcentral
CAAAAGAAUAGGAAACACAUGAAAGAUUUUUUUUUUAAUUAUUUUAGCCAUUGGACUUAAGUUUUGGACCGUUAGAUGUUUUUUUUUCCCUUUGGGUUUGAUCAUAUUAAAUCUUAACCGUUAAAUUCAAUAAAUUUAUAAAUAUAAAAUUAAAAAAGAAUACACAUAUAUGGUGGGGCCAGCCUACUAACUCAGGGGAAAUCCUGAUCUAAAUUUGCCUCAGAAAUAAGUAUUGGGUUAAAACUUAUAUUUGGUUCAAGAGUUGGAGCAAGUUGAGAUGAGUUUAAAAUCUAAAAUUUGAAUUUUACUUCAAGAAUUGGAAUAGGUCUAAGGACAGUAAAAAAAAUGAAAAAACACCACAAUGAAAAAAGCAAAAACAAAAAACAAAAAACGUGGAAGUCAAUAAGUAUAAAAAUGGGUGUAAAAAGAAAGAAAAAGAAGGUCCCACCGAGAUUUGAACUCGGGUUACUGGAUUCAGAGUCCAAUGUCCUGACCACUAGACCAUGGGACCGUUCUUGUCAAACCAACAUUACCGUUCAAUUUAUCGUCAAUCUUUAAUAAAGCCAUAUAAAGAAAAACAUAAUUAAAUUACAUUUCUAUUACCUGGGUUUUGUAUUAAACAUUUAUAAUUUAUGAUGACAGCCUAAUAGUUUAAAUUUAAUUGGGAAAUUUGAGAUUAAAUACUAAAAACACCAAACGAUUUUUUUUUUUUUAACUCUACUCGUCUUCAUCCCUCAUUUUCGCUCAAUUUUUUUGUUUGGAAUGGUUGUAUUUUCUCUCCGUUUUUUAUCUCCAUCGUUAACAAAAAAACAAAAACUUAAAAAUAAAAAUAAAAACAAAACAAAAUAGUUACCAAACAGGCUCCAAAAUUUUUAUAAUCUCUACUAAUUAAUAAAACACUCAUUGUCAACUAAAAUCCUAUGAAAUUACCAAUUUAACCCUCUAAUUAAAACAGAACAUGAAUAAGAAAUAUAGGGUAGAAAUGUAAUUUCACACAACCAAAUUUUACUUUUUUUUUAAAGCCUCACCUACGUGUAAUCCUAUCAUAUCUCUAAUUAAAAAAAUAAAAUAAUAAUAAUAAUAAUAAUAAAAUAAAAAAAUAUUCCCACUCCCACAUUCCCUAUCACUCUCUUCCUCUCUCCUUCUAUUUCGAAAACAAAAAUAAAAAAAUUUCUCACACACUUUAUGUGUGCCCAUAUGCUAUUAUUAAACUAAAGUAAUGAGCUAAACUCAAGUCGCGCCAAUGUACCAAAAAGUCUAGUACAUGUUUUUUGCUUCAAGUAAAUAUGACAAGGAUAUACAAUUUUUUGAGCAGGCUGUGGCUGAUAACAUGGCACUUGGGGCUUUUCAUCACCCUGACCUUUGGGCAGAUUGGAUUCAAGGGGAGGACUGAAGAUUACUUUGAUAAAUGAUCCUUUUAAUUAGGUUAUCUAAAAUUUAUAUAUAUGCUUAAUGUUCAAUUAUCUCAAUUUCUUUUCCCUUCUUUCUCCUGUUGUAACUCCACAACUUGAUCCUCCUUAAUCAAUAUUGUGUACCUUUGUGUAAAUAAAUAUGUAUUCAAGUCAGGUUACUGCUACUUAGUAUUAUAAUUUAGUGAUAUUCCUCUUUACUUGUAAGUGUAAGAUCUUAAGUUUGAUUCUUAUCAAAUGCAAAUUUGAAUCACAUUAUUGCUAGCCCAUAGUGAGGCUAAGCCCAACCCCCUCCCUCUUAAUAUAAAUAAUAUCGUUUGUUCAAAAAAGAAAUAGUCAAGUUACUUACAGUAAACACAAUGACCAAAAAUAUGUGGAGUACUAGAAACAAGUAAUGCUUAUGACUGCAAACCAAAUGCAAAUUAGGCUUUCAACAAUACAUUAGAUGUAUCGAUGUUUGUUCAACUGGAUUAAAACAACCAUAACCUAGUCAUGUAAAUAUAGUCAUCUGAUGUAUGAGUGCAUUUAUACAUCGGAACAUUAUAGAAUACUAAAUAGCUGGCACACGCGAUGCAAGUGCAAAAACCCUUUGUGGCCUUAAUGUGGAAGUUUUCUAGCCACCGCUGCCACCUCCUACCUAUCUCUACCAAAUCUACAACACCUGAUAUUCUCGAUGCUAUGCCAAUUUUUAAUUUUAAAACCCUAAUAGCUUAAAACAGAUAAAAAACUGCAAUACCACCAUUCACCCCUCACCUCUGUCAAAUGGUGCCCUAUGAAACACAACUAAGUGGUGGCCCCAUCCAACAUCUCACAUGCCCCUCUUCAGAUCUCAAAAUCAGUCAACACAUCCGUCCACCACCUACCUGAUGCACUCUUUGCGGCCUAAGAGCAACUCCACCCUUGGUGGUUGCUCGGGAGAUAGGUGAAGGGAAAGGGCCUGAGGGCUGGUGGAUAGGCCUCCAACGUUGGGCAGCCCGACUGAAGGUGGGAGCCCGAGGGCCAAGCCCGUGGAGAAUUGACAGCCCUGCAACCCGAGGUGUGUGUGACGUCAACCUAACGCCAGGCCUGGCGUCGGUGCUUUUUUUAUUUUUUUUGUGUCAGGCGCAUGCCCCUCACUCGCAUGUGUGAUAAGUUCACCAAUUCACAAAGGAAAAUACUAGGAAGAUUAUAUUUUCAUACCAUACAUGUGCCAAGUGAUGUGUUCAUGAUGUUGGACAAUUAUCAAUCAAUGAUAAAUUAUAUAUAUGUUAACAAAUAAUAAAUGCAAAUCAAUAAUUUAGCAGAGUAUGAACAAAACAAAAUUAAUAUUAAAUAUAUAAACUGAAGAUCGAGGCUUGUGUACUACAAUGUCCUAAAAACAUAAUUUUGUCCUACUAUGUGCUUGUAAUUUGAUAGGCGUCUGCUUCAUCAAGAUUUAACGAUCUAAGUCAAAAUUCCAACACCAUAAAACUAGACUUCUGGCAAAUACCUUUGUGGUAUUCUCAGUAUGUUUUGUAUGUAAGGAUAUGAUUUUCAGUAAAUUGAAUGAUAUGCAGAUGCAUGUAUUUAUAAUAAUCAUAUGCAUGUUUGCAACAUGCAUGUUUUUGGGAGGCAACUGUUCAACACAAAGGGCGUGUGGCUCCAUCUUUUCCUCAGACUUUUUCAUACAUUCUCAAAAGAUUGAAAAAUAAAAAGAUUAAUUAAAUUCGAAAUUAAUUUAAUAAAUUAAAAAAAAGCUAAUUAUUGAAUUUAAUUAUUAGAACUCAUCUUUUGAUAAUUAAUUAGAUAUUAAAUAUAUAAUUAUUAUUAAAUAAUUAUCACACCCCAAAGCCCAAAUCCAAGGUUGAGCACAAUUUUGCUCUCAAUGGUUUAUCACUCCAAUCAUUUUAUAAGAGGUACAAAGUCUUAUAAAGUGAAGGAAUCUUUUGGUGGUGACUAAUGUGAGACAAUGAGUUAGAAUGAUAUCUCUACUCAAAAACUCCAACACACGUCAAUUAAUGAGUUUUCUGAUUGGAUGUUGAUUAUACUAAUCACUUGCCACAUCAUAUAGUAUACUAAUGUGAUCUUCCUAGCAUUAUUCAUUCACAAAUAGGUUUCUAUUUUGAUGUACAAGGUUUAUAGACGAACUAAACAAUUUGUACAAGUUUUAGAUGAAACAAUUAAUUGCCAUGAAGAGUCGGGAAAGAAGGUGUUCGUGGCUAGAAUUUCCGUUGAGGAUGUUUCCUAGCGGACGAGCACACAGCUCCCCGAGAGGUUGGCGCCAAUUGAUGCUUUCUGUCUAGCUUCUGCUCACUGGCGGGCUUGUCGGGCAAAUCUUGUCGAGCAAGGCUUGUCGGGCAAAGCUGAAAGAGAAUGACAUGGUUAACUUUGAAAGGUGCCAUUGUAGGGCCUUAGGUGUAGGCCUUGAGGCUCACAAUCAAGAUUAACUUUUAGGUGUUCAGGCGUGCCACUGCCAUCUUUAGCAUAGUAGAUGUAAAACAGAUGUUGAGUUUUAAUUGUAUAUAUACCUGAGAGGCUGUUUUAGUUAUGAAAGGUGCCUUUGUGGGGCCUCAGGUGUAGGCCUUGAUGCUCUCAAUCAAUAACUAACCCAGUACUCGAACAUAUAAUGUUUGUUUCAUUAAUUGCAGAAGUGUUAUGACUAUUAUACUUCUAAUUACCCAAGCCCAAAGAGCAGAAUGAAUCCAAAUAGGUGCCUUUGUAGGGCCUUAGGUGUAGGCCUUGAAGCUUCCCAUCAGAAUUACUUCUAUACUCAAACGUUCUACAAUAAUCAUAAUAUAACAAAAAUAAAACUAAGAAAUAGGUCGAUUACUUGCGCCCCAAGUAACUUCGGACUUCUUGUUAUCAAAGGUUGUCGUGGAUGGGUUAAGUCCACAUAAGGUUCUUUUUUAUGCCUUGAGACCAAGGACUUUUGAAUGAUCAAUCUUACAUGCCCGAGGGUUUAGAACUUAGAUCUGAUUUAAACUGUGACUACAUAUUCCAAUCGGAUUCAAGCACUGAGGAGUCUUUUAAUCAUCAACUUGCUAGAACUAACUUGGAUACAAAUGGAAGUAUACAACAUAUUACUAGACUUAUGAAUGAAAAGACAAAAACAAAGAGGGUCGGGCAAGGUUUCACCUUGUCGGGCAAGACUGGUCGUCUUGCAACUUCCUAUCUUUGUGAUUUAUAGAGGGGCUUGAGAGCUUAGAAAGAGGGAUAGGGAGAUGAGUUUACAGAAGGAAAUCGAUACUACAGUAAGAUUUAGACAAGGUAACAGAGCUUUUACAAAGGCUUUUGGUGAGGGUUGAUCCCGAAAGGGAUGAAGGCUUGGGCUGACUACAGCUUCAUUGAAAGCAAAUCUGGCUUGAGCAGAGUUUGUGCUUGUAUUUGUUUGGCUGUUUGAGUGUCCUCAUCUCUGAUUUCUCUUUCUUCUUUUAUAGACAGUUUGGCUUGGCCUCCUGUAGCUUUAAUCUUGCCCGAAUGCAGCUUGAAGGGCAAUGACUCAUCAGUUUUUUACUUAUACUGCCACUGUAAAGUGCUUUUGGGCUAAUUAGCUGGCUGGUCUACACCACUUAGUCUCUAGGUAGGUGAACAAGUGGUUCAAAUGAUCUGCACCUAGUCGGGAAAAUGCCUUUUCUACCUUCUGGGUUUUUGCUGGGCUUCGGGCUCCUUUCCUCCUAGUCCUUCUUUUGGGCCGACUCCCUUUUUAGCUCAAAGUUCAAGUUUUAACCCAAACAAAAGGAACGUAUAAUUAAGUGGUUACAUGCUGUGGGUAGGUUUAUUGUUGAAUUUUGGAGACUUUAGGUUCCUCUGUGAUAGAAGAUGAAGUCUUGACUAUCACGGAGAUAUGUCUCCAUGUUCCCUUACGGAAGCUUGGGUAAGAAGAGAUUUUCAAGUUGUACGAAUAUUUGAGACCAGGUUAUUAAGAAGUGGAUUACAAAAUGUUAGCUGGAGGAUAUUAGAAAUGCGAAAAAUGCCUUCUAGGUUAUGUUUGGGUGAGUGAUUUAAAAAAUUCAGGGGAUUGAGGGAAGGAAAUUUUGUGAAAAACAUGUUCAUUUAAGCAACAUCUAUAGCAUGCAAUUAACAAAUUAAAGGCGGAAUCAUGCUUGCAUGCACUCAAAACAAAACAUUACCCAUAAAAUUCAAAGCCUAGUAGUUAGGUGAACCAAGACUCAACUCAAAAGAAAGUGAGUUGAGAAAUUUAUACCUUUGUAGAUUCCUCUUUGCAAAAGCAAAGGAUAAUCACCCAAGAGAUAGGGCCUUCAUUCCUUGCUUCUUAGAUCCAUGGAUUUGGAUGGAAGAAUAGGUUUCUCCAAGUUCCCAAAAUUGAGAACCUCUAAGUCUCCACACCAAGGUAAGAUGUGAAGAAGAGAUGAGUGACCUUGGAGGAGAAAGAUUACUAGCUAAUCCCUCCAAGGGUGUGUUGGAAAUAUGCCCUGAAAGUCAAUCUUUGGAAGAAACCUUUCAGGACAAAUGAAUCGAUGUAUAGAUGACUCUUAUACAUCAAAUGACAAAGAUACUAAUUAGGACUAUCUCAAUAAACGAUAUAUGUCCUAAAUAGUGAAUCCAUGGACAAUGGAUCGAUUGAAGAAGUAAUCUAAUGAUGUUAGACUACAGAGACCUUCUUCACAUAACCAUUAUGUCCAAAAAGGUUCCUGGUCAUUGGAUUAUUGGAGGGAAACUGACAAUGCUUAGACCGGUACAUACUGUGUUCGCUUCAAAUGGAAGAAUGGAAAGUCUCAUCCCAUUCGUGUAGUGACACUAAGACAAGUAUGUAGGUGCUCAUUAAGGGAAUGAGUUCACUGAACAAAAUCGAAUGAGAGUACUUGCAUGGAGGUCUACUCACAUGUCAAGCAAGUAACUCUAAUGGUUGGAAUAAUGUAAGUAGUCCUUUGACCUAAGGCAUCGUCGUUGUCUUGUGGCUAAGUACUUAAUCUUUGAUUAUGUCAAAGUCACCCCAUUCGUGGGUGUCCACGGCAUAAUUGGGGUUAAGCCACUUAGUCAUGAAGGCAAGUGAAUGCGCAACAAGGAAUCUCUAAUCCUCGAUAAGAGAGGAAGAAUACUCUAAGAUAUGAUUCGGGAAUCUUCGGCCGAAGUAUCGAGCGUAAUAAAGGAAAGCGUUCCUAUACGACUCAAUAGAAUCAUAUAAGAAGGAAUAAUCACAUUAGGGGUUUGACAUAAUAUAUCCAUACCCUAGUAAUGUGAUUGAGAGUAUUGUUUUAGAGAAUGAUCGAAUUACAUUGUAAUUCCAACUGAAUAGGUUCUCCGAACAACUUCUACAUUAGCUUGGGUAGCUAUGACAUAUGGUUAGAUGUCACUCAUAGCUUGUGAGUUCUUCUAGAUGAUUAAAUGUAGUCAUCAAAGAAGAAAGGUGAAUUAAAAGGAAGUUUUAAUUCACUAAGUGAUUGGAUUAAAUAUAAUCAAUUGGAUUGAUGUCAAUCACCUCACUGCCUUGCUAAUUAGAACCUAAAAUGAUUGUACACCGAUACACUCUUGUAGUGAGUAAUUAAUGGAUGAUGGAAAUAAUUAAUUGGAUUAAUUAAGUGUUGUGAUUAAUUUAGAAAGUCUAAAGAAAUCAUAAAAGCGAUAAAAGAUCGUUUUGGGCUUAAAGAAACGUUCGGGUUUAAUUGGGUCCAUUGGGCCUAAACCCAUUGGGCUUUUAUUCAAGCAUUGGAUGACUAGAAAUAAAUAAAAGCCCAAAGCCCAAACCAACACAAAGGGGCCGGCCAUUUAAAGUGGAGAGGGAGAGAUAUUAAGUCAAGUUGUUGACUAGGUUUCUUUUUGUCUAUAUAAGGAACUUUAUAGAGAUUUAUUCCUUAGGGUUUUUGUGUGUUUUAAAACAACAAAGAGGCAAAAGAAACAUCUCUCUAAAACACCAAAGGCCGGCCACCUUGAGGGUGAUUUAGCUAACAAUCUUUCACCCUUUUGGUUAUUCCUCCAUCCAUCUCACUACACUAGUGGGUGUGGAUAUUUAGAGGUCUUCUCCUUUGGAGAAUAAAGGAGAACCUUGGAGCACUCUUACUAACAAAGUGGAGGAGGCAAGGAGGGAGGCUAGGCUCAAGGACUUCAAGGAGCAAAGGGCUUGGAGGUGGUCCAUCCUUGGUCUAAAAUCAAGAUCAAGAGGUAUAGAUCUAUACCUUCACUUAGUUCUUAACUUGAAUGUUUUAGAUGCAUUAUAUAUAAACCUAUGAACCUUGAAAGGGAUUUUCAUGACUAUAGCUUUGAUAUUAUUUGAUAACAUGCUUCCGUUGCUUAUGUAUAUAAAUUUUGAAUUGUAUAUGCAUGCUAGUCAUUUCGAAAUCCCAUGUGUAAAACUCACAGAUUUCCCUUCAGGGUGGCCGGCCUCUUUAGAGAGAAAGGAGAGCUUUGUGUUCUCUCCAAUUUCCUCAAAAAACCCUAAAUGAAUUUUGGCUAUAAAGUCAUAUUUAUACCUUUAUUCAUUGGAGUGGCAAACUUGUAAUUAAAGCAAGUUCACUACCCUUCCUCUAAAUGGCCGGCCUUAGGGUAUUAUUGGGCUAUUUGGGCCUUUGUGAAUCAUUAUUCAUUAAGUUGUCAUACAACUUAAGUCAAUGGACUUGACAUUCAAAGCCCAUUGGGCCUUAAGGUCCAAUAUUAUCCCGAGGUCUUUAACGAACUUAUUCGUUUGAUUAAUUAACAUAUUAAUUCAUCCUUGCCAUAAAUAAUUAAACCAUUUAAUUAUUCUUACUCAUCUCCGUUGUUUCUUCAAUCUCUACCUUACACAGUGUACGAUCCAUUAGGUUCCUUUUAGCGAGGCAGUGGGCGAUUAAAACUCUUUCAAAUCGAUUGUGAAUUGAAACUUACUUUCAAUUCUCCCUUUAGUGUUCAUACACGUUUAGGGCUUCCACAAACCAUGAGUGAUACCUAGCAGCAUAUCAUGGUUACCCAAGCUAAUCAGAAGAGGUGGAGAACCUAUUCAGUUUAGGAUUACAAUGCAAUACGGUCUUUCUCUAAUACAAUACUCUUGACCACAUUGUUUGGUUUGAUAGUUUAUUCAUGUCUACUAUCCAAUGUGAUUCAUUUACUUAUAUGAUUAUCUUGAAUGUGAUUUGGAACGACCUCCUAAAUCUCAUUCAUACUCUGGCAAGAGAUUCUUAAUCAUAUCAUAGAGUAUUCUCCCUCAAACGGUUUGAAGGUUAGAGAUCCCUUGUUGCCCAUUCACUUGCCUCCAUGACUAAGUGGCUUAACCCCAACUAUGCCGUGGACACCCGCGAAUUGAGUGACUUUGACAUAAUCAAAGAUCAAUGACCUAACCACAAGACAACUAUGAUGCCUCAGGUCAAAUGACUAUUUUGCAUUAUCCCAACCAUGAGUUCUCAUGUGACAUGAGUAUGAGAACUCUUCGUUGAUCGUGUUCAGUGAACUCAUUCCUUAUUGAGCACCUACGUACUUGUCUUGGUGUCAGUCACACCAAUGACUCGAGACCAGUCACUCUCACUAAGAGAAGACAUAGCACAUACUGAUCUUAACGGACUGUCAAUGCCCAAUUGGCAAUCAUAUGAUUAGGAACGUUUAGGAUAUGUAUACGAAAGAGAAUGGUCUCAUGAAUCUAACUUCUUUAAAUUCAUUCUCCUAAUUACAUAUUCCUUGGACUCAUCGUUUAAGCAUAUAACAUUUAUAUGAGACGGCUUAAAACAAUAAUCUAUGCCCUUGAUAUUAAACUAGAUUAGUUUAACAUGUGAAAUGUCCGUAAAGUAUCAUCAUAUGAUUGGUUUUAGGGCACAUUCCCAACAUUGAGACCAAGUUAGUAAGGAAUGCUUUAUAAUAUAUUAGAUAAAGGUGAUUAGAAAUGUCCUUCAUGAGCAUUGCAAGGACAUGUACAAGGAUUUAUAUAUGUUUUCUUCCAAGUAGUGAUUUGCAAAUCUCUCUUAUAUGCCUUUGCUAUAACAUUAAAGGACGAAUUUAUGAUUCUCUACAUCCAACAUUUUUUAGCCUAUUCCUUACUAACUUGGGUUUGGUCCCUUGAGACUUGUGUGAAGUCUAGUUUUAGUUCUUUGGCUUUCCUUGUCAAAAGUUGUAAAUGAUACCACACAUACUCUUAGAUUGUCUUUUGUUUUAUAACUCUGGUAUGAGUUCAUGUUGUUGGACAUUGUGUCCAAAGGCAUUGGUCGAAGACAAUUCAUCAUCACAAAAGGUGAUCAUUCAUAUUCAUUCCAUGCAUAAACCUGAGUUCAUUUUUUCUAGUCAUGUUGUCUAGUCAGACAUUUGUCACUGUUGUCCAGCUAUUUGGACAUGUUUUUUGAGUCUACCUACAUAGGCUUUCUGACAGCUUGUCCCAGGUUGAAAUCUAAGCCUUAGAUUUGCUCAAAUCGUGCUCUGCAUUGACAAGUGUCUUUUGUCCUUGGUUGGACAGAAAAUUUGGUAGCCCCUAUGAUAAAACCCUAGCUGCCUUCCUUGCUUCUUUGGUGAGAACAUUUUACAUUCAUCAAAGAGAGAGUUUGAGCUUAUUGCUUCCUCAUUUAGUUGCCUAGCCACAAAACUGUUUUUAUGCAUUAAAACCCUAAGAUCAUUGUGUAUCUAGGUUGCAUUGGUUCACUUGUUUUGUGUUGUGUUCUUGAUCUAGCAUUUUGAGUUAAAUUUCUCAUAUAGAUCAAGUUUUGGAUUAUUUUCAAUUUCUUCCUUCAAAUGUUUGACUAGAGAAACUAACUGAUCUUUCAAUCUAGAUUUCAUAUCAUUUGCAUUGAUCAUGUUGGUUCUCGGUGCCACUUGGUGAUGAGCUCAGGAGGAGCUGCCACUUCGUGAAGACCGAAGGAGUCCAUCUCGUGUAAGGCAAUAUUGCACAAAGGUAUAAGUUGUUCCAUAGAUUAGGGAUCUAGGAAUUGAGCGUGUGUGGAUACUUUGUAUGAAUCUUGUUUACACUAAUGGAUUGGACUCAGUAGAGAGUCCCUAAUUUUUUAAUCCAGAUGUGAGGUUUUCCCGCCAAAAACAUCAUGUGUUGAUUAUUACUUUUCUUAGCUUUUAUAUCUCAAUAUCUGUAUAUGAGAUGCGAUCAUCAUGACCUGUCCAUACAACUAAGUUAAUCAAUGUUUGAAUCUACUGAACUGGAUCUUAAUUAACUAGGAACUUUUCAAUAACUCAAGUAUUGAAAUAGAUUGCUUCCGCUAUUGUUAAACUAACAUAUCUAAUCUUAGUUGACUGGUGUUGCUGACUAGUCAGACAAGCACAUACAUAGAUUUUUAAGUGCAAGUUAUUACGUUUGCUGUCAAUUUCAACUUGCAAAUCAUUCCCACCAACAUAGACUCUGAAUUGAACCCCUAGUUUAAUUGUAAUCCCUGAACUCUCAUAUUAGAUUCAUUAUUGUUACAUUUCACUAACGCCAUCUCUCUUGCCAUAAAUCCAAGGUUAUAUUAGGAACUUCAACUUAAAAUUAAAAAAAAUAAUAAAAAAGCUAAAAAAAACAGAUAAAAAUUUAUAAACUGAUAUCUAAAGCAUAAAAACAGAUGAAGAAAAUGAAAUUUGCAACGUUAAAAGGAAAAUUUGUUUAGCAAACUAACAAAUAACAAAUCAAUUUAAACAACUAAAAAAAAAAACUACAAAAAAAAAAAAAAAAAAAAAAAAAAAAAAAAAACCAAACACACAAAAAAAAUCUGAUUUUUUUAGGUUCUUUUGUCUCUCUCAUUUUUCAUUGUUAAAAUCAUUUUUAGUGAUGUGGGAUGAAGUUCGUAAUAUACUCCUAAGUUUAACGAAAAUAUAAACGGUGUCAGUAAAAAUGAUGAAUGAUACAACAUAAUGCUUGAUAACUAAAGAAACUAAUACGAGAGCUUAUUCGCUAAAAUUAAGAGAGGUUUAACGAAACACUUCUGAUAUUGUUCAUUUUUAACAAAAAUAAUAUUUUUACUCUAAAAAAUCACUCCUGGUACUAUUCACUUACAAUACUUUUUUAUCAUUUUGAUUAAAACUCAGCUCUUUUCAUUAAUUUUCUUUAAAAUUAAUUUUGGAUAAAAUUUAGAGAGUAUUAAUACAGUUAAACCUAUAAUUUAUUCCUGUUCACACACGGUCAGCCGACUCAUGGGAAUUAGAUUGGGGUUUCUCUCUGUCCAUGAAAUGUAUAAGUUUGUCGCCAUCUGGAUACCAUUUGUAAGCAGGAUGCUAUGCUAUUUCAUAUCUCUGCUGCAUAAUUUUGUGAAUACAGUGGAUGGAUCCGCCUGGUGAUCUGAUAAGAUUGCAAAGGUAAACCAUAUUUUAUUGAAAAUAAAAUUAAUGAAAAUGAUUUGAAAACUUUGAGUUUUAAUGAUAAAGACAAAAUAAAGGGUAAAAUGAAUAAUGCCACAUUUAUUUUUUAGUGUAAAAAUGUGGUUUUUCGUUAAAAUGAACAGUACCAGAAAUUUUUCGUUAAAAUUUCCUUUAUUGAAAGAGAACAAGUCACAAUCAUACAAACUGUGACUUCCUAACAAAUAUAUAUCCAUAGUUAGUUAAUGACCAUUAAAACAUAACAAACGUAUAACUGUAGCUAAGAAUAUCAAGAUUUCUAAUUUGGAUCAAGAUCAGGUCGGGGUCUUGCUCACAAUAGCAAUGGUCGGGUAAGGAUCUUGUUCACAAUCAUAGCAGUCAAAUCUAAUCAAGUCAAGAGAAAUUAAUCCACUUUAAUAUCGUUUUCGAAAAAAAAAAAAAUUUAAUGAAAAGCUUUUGAUACUGUUCAAUUGAACGAAAAAUCAUAUUUUUACAAUAAAAAGUCAAUCAUGGUACUAUUUACUUUACCCUUUAUUUUGUCAUUAUCGUUAAAACUUAAAGUUUUCAAGUCAUUUUCAUUAAUUUUCCUAACUAAAAAAUCCACUUUAAUAUCAUGUCAAGAUUACAGAGUCGGACUAGCGCCCAAUACGAAUCACAAUGACAUUGUCCCAACUUUGCACAAUCCAACAAGGUUCUUUGAAUUAAUUGGAUAAUACUACUAUCAAUCGCACAUGAACAACGAUUGGCUAAUGCUCUAAAUAGUUUGAAGAAAAUUCAGUUUUAACCAGAACCGGAAGAACCUUGACGUACUAACAAAUUCUUGAGGAAAAACAAUAAUAUAUUUCAAAAAUGUAAUCCAUUAGUUCAAAGAGACAUUGGUUCUCUUCAUCUCGUGCUCAGAAGCCAGAAGGAGCCCUUCCAAUUUCCAAGUAUUAUCCUAGUUCUAUGUGCACACAAUUUAACAAUUUCUUCAUUAUUUGAAGCACAUGAAAUGUUCCCUUAUGUUGUUGUAUUCUUCCUAAUCAGGAGUGCAUGCAGCUGUACAAGAAUACAAAUGGAGAAUGCGAAUAUCACAGUUUUAUUUUUUAAACAAUUGAUAAGUUGUUCAAAAAACAAUAAUAGUACAAUCAUUGUUCAUAUAUAUAACUCAACUUGUUAGAUAAAUUACCAACUAGCUUCUUAGUUUUAUUUUAUUUUUAGCUUUUCAGAAAACUAUCGAACAAUACUAUGAUCAGAAGAAAUCGUGUACACUUGUGAGUGAUUGACUGUAAUAUAAUUCAAAUUAUUAUUUACUUUCUUUCUGAAAAAAAGACUGAAAACAAAAUAGGAAAGUGUUAUUUGCCCUUUCCCCUUAUCCUAAACCUUUAUUUUAUCGUAUCAUUAAUUCCCACACCACAAGGUAUACAUUGAUUUCUAGAAAUCGUGUACCCUUGUGUGAGCGUGUUGGGGCUUGGAAUCUGGGAUUUGAGCCGAGAAGAAAUAAACCAAGAAAUGAGGGAUGUGAGCCUUGACCCAAUAAUGAAUAUUUAGUCCAUGUAACAUUUCUAAGCCAGAAAUGGAAUGCCAACAAACCGAGUCCUAGUGAAAUUGGUAUUGCUAAACAGUUGGAUUUAGGUAUUGCUCGGUCGAGUCCUAGAUGAAUUAUAAUUGCUAAAAAUAAGGAUGAGUUUUGAUAAGAUUCAAAUCAUUUCAAGAAUCAAAACAUGUGACUCAUCAGAUGAGAAGUGAAUUAACAUGUAAGAUGACUAGGUUCAGAGUCCUAAUUCAAGUCAAAGAGGCCACAACUUGAAAAAGAUAGAGUUUCGAUAGGAAAGGGGUCUAAUGGGACAAUGUCAAGGAUAUCCAGGUACGUAUUGAGGAGUCACAGUCCAAAUGGGAUUCUACUUUGGCAAACAUGGUCACGUAGACGGGACUUUCAACUCAACACACAAACCAAAGCUCUUCGUGAAACCCUCGCUCUAUGUGAAACCUUCUCAUAUGCUGAGAAAAACAAUAAUUGCUUCACUAACCCCUCCGUCAGCACACAUUCAGUUCUGUUGUACAUCAGUAGGUUGACAAACUAACGCCAUACUCAGUUCGGUUGAACAUCACUGGAGUCGUAGAAUCAAGAACUCUUAGUUGGCAAAAAGUCAUUGAUUAUCUCGCCGAACGAGGUCACUUCAUUAGUUUUCUCGUCAAAGUGGAGAUGUUUAGUGUUUACACAUGGAAAGAACAGUUUUGAAGUCAUAGGAAAGCAUAAUUGUUUAUGUUCGUAGACCUAUUGCUGAGUGUGUUUCUUCACAUUGUAAUUUCUCAGUUUACUUCCAUGGUAGAGAACCCUCAUUCUCGAGUAGUGUGGAGAGAGAGAUAGUUAUCUUCCUGAUUUGGGUUAUACAUUGUACUCACCGGUUUGCAUGAAAAAGACACGGGAUGGACACACCAUUUUCAUCAUCGUAACUACCACGCUACAUUAAUUCAAUGAACACAUUUUGCCGAGCCAACUCGGUAAGGAAUUGACAUGCUCGCAUCAGCCUUCUAACCACACGUGAAGGAGUAUUUUUUAGGAGCAUUGUCUGAUACUCUAAUGUCUAAUCUAACUUACAUUAUAGUGACAUACCGAUCAUGUGUGUCUUGAAUAUUUCCACUGCUCUGUGAUUCAUCAGCAAAGGAUGCUUUGGAUUGUAAUUCUUAGCUAUAAUUACAAUAGGUUACUUUUACGGUUCUUUUUACAAAGAAGGAUUUGUAACUUAAACAAUAUACUCUCGUGGAGAAUGUGUGGUUAUUGGUUCUUCUAAAGGUUACUGCAUUAUAGUCCUACGAAAAUUCAUUCUAUUUGUAGAUACAUUUAAAUUCCCAACAACCACUUGAUUAGUCCGUACUGCAUCGAUGAAUCCAGACCCCGUCCCCAGGCUACGUACAAAAUCCUUAUUUGUUUAUUUAUUUCUGUCAUUGGCUCUCAGUGGCAUAACUGUCACUCGAGGAACAUAAUGAGUGUUGUUAGGGUUCAGUAGUACUCUCAUGCUCCCACUGACUGACCUACCUAUAUAAAAGCAUUUCUCACUACUGUGUAGGGUGCAAACCAUCUCGUAGAUAUUAGGAUCAGAGGUAUUUUUCAACCCAUGACAUAAAUCCCUUUCGAUUGCUUUCUGUCUGUCAGUGAGGUAAUUGGUAAUUAUAAAUUCAUUAGAGAACUAACACCUCCGGUCUUGUUUAUAUUUUCCUCUUGAUGUGAAUGAUUUUCAGAUAUAGUCGAGUAUUUCUUUUCUUAAAGUCUUUUUCUACCCUUUUUAGUCGAUGCAAUCUAAUUAUUUGUACUAACUCAAAAUUCUUUAAUAAUAUAUAGCCAAAUUAUAUAUUGAAUGAAAGAGAGUAAAAAUAGAAAGUAGUUUUGGUACCUAGUUCUAUGGGGACCAACUGAACAUUAUAUGUUUAAUUGUGUUCCUCUUCCACUGCACAGCCAUCGAGAUUAGAAUGGAGAUAGUUAUCACAUUUCUUAUAUGAUCAAUAUACAGGUUACAUUAAUGCACUAUGUAAUGAAUAAGAUUCUAAAUGAUGUAUAAACUCUAUAUAUUUUAUCAUAAUAAUUUUAAAAAAUCUUUCCUAUUUGUAAAUCCCGCAUACUAAGAAUUUCUUGCCUUUUUCCAUACGUCACUUUCAAAUACUUUUCAUGUAUUUGGUAUAUUCAGAGGAAUAAAUUUACGUAUCUCUCAAGAACAUGCCAUGACUGAGACUCCAUCCAAGGACCCUAUACAGGAGUCUUUUUAACAAUUAUCAGUUAUUUUUAGUGUGAACAUGUUUGAAGUUUAUAAAACCCUCAUUCAAAAUGGAUCUACAAUUAAAAUUUUUAGAAUAGCCGCAUCAAGGACACCAUUAAAACAUCAUGUGGUAUGACAAGUCAGUAUAUUUGCUAGGAAUGCGCGGGCAUGGUGAUCCUAUAAUGAAUGUAAAUAUGUGGUGUAUUGUUAUUCAAGAGAAAUGGUAUUUGAGACCUGCUUCAAGUUCACAUAUAUGAUUACUACAGCAGGUACCCAACUCCAAUACUCCUAACAUGCCUCGCAAUAUCUACAAUCUUUACAGUGGUGACUAGUUAUGGAGCCCCGAGUCCUGCCUUUUGGAUCUAGUGUCUGCUCUCUUCUAUUACAACUAUCGUGUCUUUCUGUUAUUAAUUGGAUGAAGAGUGUUUUUUCUAAUCUGUUUAGGGUUUAAUAUGUGUGUCAGACAUGCAGUUGACUUAGUUAGUGAGUUAAGAUUAGGGUGUGUUAUCAAGUUUUUUAAUCUACACAUGCCUCAUUCUUGACCAUCUAUUUAGAUAUGUCACUAGUCGCGAUGGUUCGAUCGAUAGGAUAUUGGCGUUUACUUGUUAUAGCGUAAUAAAAAUUAAGAUUAUCAUUUUAAUGAUUUGUUGAUUGUCUACAAUAUGCAUCUUCGAUAUUCACCCAAUACUCCUUUAUACAAUUAUUAAUACUAUUGAAUUUCACGCGGCAUACUAAUCCAAGUUUUAUGCGAGACCCCAAUUUUAUGAGUAUUUUUUGCUGCCCUCUAAUGCAUCUUAAUAUCGAGUGACAACCAAGAUUGAUUUUCAAGCAUAAAUUCUUGUUAUCAGCUCAUGCCUAACAUUAUAGUUCUUUCUAUCUUUUUCAGUUUUCUUUGUAUUUAACUUAUAUCAAAAUAGAUCAACAGUACAUAAUAAACUCAAUUGAAGAUAGAAGUGCCCACAAAAGGAUGAAACAAUAAGAAUGUGUGAGAGGAGAACACUCCUGCUCCUUGUAGUACAUCCUAAAACCUCCUAUUUAAUAGAAAGAUCCACAUUCAAGCAAUAUUUGAAGGAUAUGCAAGUAAACAUUACCCUGAUAUUUUACCUAUAUUAUAUUUUGAAAAUCUAUUACAAUCGUAUAUUAACAACUUUUUCCAAUACGAUUCUUUUUCAAACCUUUCAAUAUCCGCAUACAUUCUCUUGUAUCCCAUACCUCAUCAAAUAAUAACCACUCUACCUGUCAUAUAACAUUUGUCCAAAAAACAUUCAUUAUCGUCCUCGAAGUUGUCCCCAGACGUGGCCUUUUAGGAUAUGCUUAUACCAUUUGGCUGCCAAAUGUCUCGCCACAUUUGUUUAGGAAUAAAAAAUAAACCGGUUAAUUUUUUUAAGAAAUAAAACCUGGAAUUUUAAGAGAAAAAAAAAAUUUGAAAACCCAGUAGUCCUCAACCCCUAGGUACACUCUACAAAAUCUCCUCUCCAUUUCUCCCUUCCAACCAGAACCUUGCCAGGAUUAACCUGGCAUGUAGACCGAAGAUAUGAAGAGGAUAUAGAAAAAAAAAUUAAUAAUCCCUCAGGUCUUCGUCACCCUUCCAAAAAACUCUUGACAAACCGCAAAAAGAAAGAAAUGCAAGAAUGAAGUAGGCGAUAAAAAAAAUUGAUAACACGUGAAAAAAAUAUGAAUACCAGUCCGCUCAGUUCGUCCCACCGAGCAAUUCUCUUUCUCCCAUUCCCCCAUCACCCGCUCGCCAAAUCCCCCAAUUCACUCCACACCACCAAAAAGAAUAUGUCCAUCCGCGGUUUAGGUGGAAUAUAUAUUCCUACUCGUACACAAAAACCAAUUCCAAAUUGCCUUUUCUCUCAAAUACUCUACACACACUUUUAAAAUAGUAUAGUAUGUGCCUUGGGGUUUUGUGGGGUGUAAAAAGGUUUCUUUGUCUUUAUUUUUUCCUCCCCCUCUUUACCUUCUUUCUUCUAUUUGCUUUCUCUUCACAUGGAAUUUAGCAGGUUUUUUUGCGGUGGGGGAUGAACUGGUGGGUUUGUGGUUUGUAUAUAUUUCUUGUCUCCACCUCCUAAUUAUCCAUUCUAUCUUCUUUUUCUCUUUCUCCAAUGUUCUAGAUUCCAAUUAACAUAGACAUGAGGUAGUCCAUGAGGUUAGGGUAUCUAGGGAUGUUGGUGGUAUCUUUGUUAUAAAAACUGAAUAGCUUCAUUUACUUGAAUUUAGUUGGUGUGGGCGGGGUAGGUGUCCCUGCAACUUAAUGGCGUUCUCUUUCGGAUUCUUUGGAGAUAAUAUGUGGGGUUUCAAUUUUUUUUUUUUGAAAAUUUUCACGUUUUUUUAUAAAGAUACAAAAAUUAUAUGUGUUUUUUUAUUUAGCCUUUAUCGAGUCAGCAGACAUUUUUCGGCUGCCUAACGUCUUGUUGAUAGUGCUCCAAACAUCUAAUCAGGGUGUUAGUCUACGACUUAUUGCAUUAGAUGAGAUGAAAAUGUUAAUGGAUGCAACAACGGCGUAACAUAACCUACCCAUCUAGCAAAUAAAGAAUUAAGGUAGAAUUCGGAGAUGUUAUGAGUAUUCUUAUAAAAUGUGUUUGUGAACGAUGUGUUAUGCGAUUGUACAUUAAAUAGACCUACCUAUAGAAUCACAGGAGGUCUCAGUAUUGUUUGUAAUUUACCCAUUCAACUACAUAAUUCACAUCUCUCUCAAUUGUAAUAUACUAGCUAAAGUUACAAUUGACCUUUAUAUCUUUUGGUCAGUGAAUUAACAAAAAUGCUACUUUUAUCAUAUUUUUGUAUAUUAUAUUUAGACUAUUUUUCUAUUAGAGAUUGGACAUGUCUAGUGAUAUUUUUCUUCAUUUGUAAGUGAACGGUAUUAGGUUCGAUUCUCGUCACAAGCACAAACGAAUUUGAACUACAAUAUUGUUAGCAUAUUGUGAGAUAAUCAAGUAUUAAUUCACUAACUCUUAUUGUGACGAUAAUUUGAACCACAAUAUUAUUAAUCAAAUUACUAAUUCACUAACUCUCCUUGUGACAAUAUUUUGAAUUCGAUGCAAGUAGAACUAACUCGUUUUAACAUCUUAGCUAAGUCCAAGUUAGUUAGCAUAAGUUUAAACCAAAAACCUCAAGGCAACGCAAAAACUCUCUUUACUGCAAGUUCCUAUCAUUUUUCUUUUUCUUUCUUUUUUAAUGGUGAAAGAUGACCUAAAUUUCAAGUUUUAAACAGAUAAUUAAAUGAGUAGAUUCUUGUUUUGAUUUCAUUCCUUAGUCAGUUGAAUCAUAAUUUAAACACAAGAUGUAAUUUAAACCGAGCUAGAUGUGGAUGCUAGUGUUUUUAUUAGAAAAAAGAGUAAGAAAAAGGGCCUGAUAGGAAGUAGUAUUAGAGCAGAGAUCGUUGCAUAUGAGAUUGUAAACACUCCGAGACAAGAGACAGGAGAGAGAUGUGAGAAACACAGGAUCGUAAUAGUCAGAUAGUAAAAAAUUAAGUCUGACAAACACACCUUUAAUUACUACAUGUGUGGGCCGCUUUAUGCCUGACCCUCUAAUGUAUCAUUCAUGUUCAUCAAGUCACCUUAGCUUGAAAUGCAAUUCUCGUACACCAUGUUUUGGGCUUCACCACAAAAUCUAGAUGCAUCUCCACCAUUGUUUUAUAAUAUCUAAAUCUCAUAGUCUAUUUAAAUAUAAAUGCCUCGAGAUUCACCUUUCUCCCUAUAAAUCAAUCCUCUUCAGUCUCCUCGCUCUCUAUUUUUGUCAAAAUGUAAUAUUUAUUUAGAAGGAUAGCACGAAUAUAAUGUUAUAAUUAAUUAGGUGUCAAAAUAGAAAAUAAGUAUGUGUUUGCAAACAAUAGGUGAAAAUAUGUAAUAUUGUCAUCAUUCAACUGGAUUUUCUCACAUAUUAUUUGAUAUACCAUGUUGAACUCAUCGUUACUGUUAUAUUAUUUAGAUUUCAAACCUCACCAUUCUCUAUACGUUUUACGUUUUGUUUCUUUUUUUUCAACGUUACUCUGACAUCCUGCGUACAUGUUUAUAUUAUAACUUCAUCGAUUAAAUUAUACAUAUCACAUUCUUAGUGGAGGGCAUGCCCUGGCACAAUUUGGUGAGAUACGUGAAUUUACUACUCUCAUGAUACCUUGCGAUAUCUCGGAUUCUUCCACACUAUUUUAUUCAGUGCUUCUCUCAAUAGGCCAAAAACUUGCUAAUCGUUUUGGCCUUUAUGGAACCUUGACGUUACGGAUGAAAUGUGUUCUGCGUAUGGCAAUCCACUAAUGAUGUAGCAGGAAAAUGUUGAAUACACUUCUCUGGUUCUUCUUAGGUAUGCGCGAAAAAGAUGUGGAGUUAUAGUUGACGGAUAAUAUGGCCCAUUUUUUAUUAGUGGAACCGAAUAAAUGUAAUCAUCAAUUAUUAUAUUUUUUUUUAAAACAAACAAUAUUUUCUACACUUAAGGGGAGAAAGUAGGCUUCGACUACAAUAACUUGAAAUGUAUGCAUGAGUUUAUUCUGGUUGGGAAAUAAUGUGAUGUCAAUUAGCGAGACAUCUCGCCGCAAUUAUUUAAAUCAUACUAAUAUGAGAAAAUUAAAAGUAAAGUUAAACAAUCACGUUCCGUUCCAUCCGAACUCUUGUAAAGAUUAGUGUAUUAUCAAGCUGAUAAAUCCUAAAACUAAUAUUUUCAUUGUUCAUUUUUCCAAUUGGGUUGCCAACUUAACUUAUGCUUAUGUAACUCUUGAUUAGUAAAUUGAAGUAAAAUAAUAACCAACAUUCUCUCUUCUCAGUAAUUUAAUUAGAUGAAGAAGAUACCCAUCUCUGAUUACUUACUACCUCCCUGCUCCAGUUCUUAAACAUCAAGGAAGUAAUCAUCUGGUAUACGUCUAUAUUUUCAUUGUAUGCUUUUUGAUAAUUUUAUUGCAACUUCUCAUGACUUUUAUAAUAAGCAAGAUCUAAAGCAUUCGCAUUAUUAGAGUUCUUCUCCCACUCCAUAAAUCCCCACCGCCAGAGCCUCCUUAAUUGAUAGUUUGACAGCUUGUAAUAUGAGGUCUUCAUUUUUAUGUCAUGACUUUAAGAACUGCGUGUCUCCUAUAAAUCCAUCAUAUCCCAGAAUAACUGUGACGACUUUUCUUCUUUGCCUAUAUUCAUGGUUAUGACUCUCUCAGUUAUAAAUAAUAAUAUAUAUCUUAUAAAAGAAAAGUUCUUUUGGAUCUACCAUCAUUGUCUAUCCUCAAAUUUACUUCUAUUCAGACUAUCUAUAUUCAACCCUCUUAUUAAUUUUACCAUAUUCCUAGUUCAUUAAGCCAUCUCCCAAUUCUCUCCCUUCCAUGUCUAUCUGCGCGAAUCUCUUUCAAGAAUAGUAUCUUCUAUAAUUGUGUUUGUUCGUGCCAUCAUUUGACUCCAAAAGAUUCACCCACACCCCAUAUUUCGUGUGUCAUCUCUCUAGGUUAUCGAAUUUUAAUUCUUUAUCUGUCUUGGUAGUAUAUAAAUCAGACUCCACAAUUCGCACAAAGGACUAGUGUCGUCGACAGCGCCUCAAAUCGAGACUAAGAUCAGUUCAAGCGCGAGCGGCGCCUUAACCUCGUUCCGUCCAGCGUUCUUCCUUGGUUCUCUGUUAAGUAUCGAACCUAGAACAGAGGGCAAUACCUGGGUCGGUGAGAAAGCAAGAUGCUGUCCAACGCUCUCUAAGUCUCCCCAACAUAUGUGAAGACUCUGAGCGCCUCCCUUGGUGACGACAGAGCUUCUUGGUGCUAUGGUAGUUAUUGUCUGCCAUUAACUUGUUCAUAUACCGUAGUAAUAGCGACGAUGGUUUUUGGUACAACUUGGGGGAACAAAUUAGAUAGAUAUUUUAUUAAGAUUGAAAAAAUGCUCAAAUAUAAGGCGAUUCGUUGCAAGCUUAGUCGGCAAGAAUUCAGGAUUUACAAUUCAACAACGGUUUGGCCGCGGCGGCCUCCGAUACAAACUAAAGGAAAGAUGAAUAGUUGGUUUCGUGUUUCUCUCGGCGAGUAUAAGCUUGAGACGCGAUCAGUUUACUCAGAUAAGAAGAACGUUGAUAAUAUAAUAUAAAGGCCGAAUGAUUCACAAGGACACACAACGUUCCAUUUCUGAUGAACAGACGUUUACUAUCCUCAUUAUGUCGAUCUAAAGUGUCUCUUUCUCCUAUCGCCGUUCCUUAUUGACCUCCGGCCAUGUCUAUCAGAUUCCACACCUCUAACUUCCUUUUUAUGAGGUAAGGAUUAUUUUAUUUGUUUAUUUACUUUUUCUUUUCAUAUUUUCUUUAUAUAUUCAAUGAAAAUGCAAAAAAAGAGAACCAAAAAAAAUGCAGAAAAGAAAAUAAGUUGGAAAAUUCACUUUGUUUAUCGAGCUUCUUGUGUUUACAUAUUAGAUAGUAACACAAAUCCAAAUUGUUCAUUUUUUGUUAGCAUUAUUCAAUGGCAAAUGAAUUUGGCAAACAUUUUUUUCUUGGCUUAUUCAAUCUAAAUGUCAUAAAUUAGAUAAAUUUAUUUAUUCUUUUUGAAAAUUGUUAUUAGUAUUUCAAAAUUUUCAUUAUACACUCCUCAUUAGUCUGUUUUUCUUUUUUAUUAUAAAAAAUUUAGAAUGCAAAAUGAGAUUUUUCUUUUAUAUACAAGCUAUACUUUAUAUUAAUUUAUACUAAGGAGAUAGAAAGUUGAAAAUAAAACCUUAAUCACCAAGUUAAUUCACCACGCAAGCUACCUAUUUUUUUACGGAGUGGAAGUGUAAGUUUCUUGUUUAUUAAUUGAAGCUUGAAAGUAAUAUUGCUUGUUGUUGGGAAUUGUGCAGAUAAAAAAUGAAAGUGGGGGUGGUGGACGCCAAAGUGGAUUGUCGGUCGUUUCUCAGAAACAUCAUUUGAAUGAUUACCAAAUGGGAGGCUUCGAGAGACCUACAAGUGCUAGUUUAACUGAGGUAAAAAUUCAACUGCAUUUCAAUCUCAAUAUAUAUAUAUAUAUAUAAAUUUGAUAAAAAAAAAAGGUACAUGUUUUCUGGAAUUUAUUUUUACAGUUUGUGUGGAAGGGGUGAAAAUUAAAAAAUGGACAAGAAGAUGUUGACAGUGAUUCAAAUAAAGUUGUCCCCAUAGAAUGGAACAUAAAUAUCAAAUCUAGUUUUCUGCCUUGUCAUUUUCAAUGAAUAGGAUAUAAAUUUUUGUAUUUGAAAAAGUUGAUCUAGUUCAUCACCUUCGUGUUUACAAAUUGCACAAUUGGCUAGAAUGAUCAUUUUCGACAUUUGGGGUGUAGAAAUGACCAAUUAGCUGUGUCGAAGAUUGUUCGUGAAACCAAAUGUCAAAAAAUGACAAAUCAUGUUAAUUGUUCCUAAAAAUUAGCUCUUCAAUUUAAAUAAUUAAUCUAAUGCAUUUGCUUUAAUGGUCGACUAGAAUGUAUGUUACUUAAUAAGUUCAUAGUUUAGUUAGUUAAGAGCAUUCACUCUCGUCACUGGAGGUCUCGAGUUCCCCCACUACUCUGAUAUCCCUUCUAUAAAAAAGAAGGAUAAUGCUAGGGAGAUCAAAUUUUAAACCAAAUUUCCAAACUAAAUGAUGUAUCAUCAAUAAGAAAUAAGUGCAUUAAUCGACACUUAUUUAAUAAUCCAAUCAUCAACAACCACAUCAUUUGGUUUACAUAGUUUGGUUUAAAAAUUUAGUUUCCCUAUCAUUACUCCAAAAAGAAUGUUUGUUAUACUUAACAAAAAUUCAACUAUGCUCUAAAGUCUCAUACUCCGGAACACCAUAAAAAAUCCCAUUGCUUAAAGUACGCACUCCUGCGCCCGAGAAUUCGAGUUCGCUUCCUUACUCCCUGAUAUCGCUUGUAUAAAAAAGAAUGUUUGUUACUUCAAUCUUUGAGUAGACAUGUUGAUUGCAUUAGGCUGCAAGGGUUUCAAGAGUGAGUUUCUAGGAUGAUGAAUAAGCAGACAUGUUGAUUGAAUUUCACAAUGUGCAGGUCAAAUAUCAAUCCUGUGGGAAACCUGAUCGAAAAUGCAUACACGGAUUUAAGACCGGUUUGAAGGAUGUCAGUAGUGGCCUUUCUACAUCUAAAGAGCUUGUGAAGGUUCUUACUCGCAUUUCGGGUCUUGAAGAGCAGCAUUCGUUAACUACAACCCUACUCUCAGCCUUACGAGUUGAGCUUGAUCGAGCGCGUGUCCAGGUUCAUCAACUGAUCCGAGAACAGAGGUCUAACUGCAACGAAAUUGAGUUUCUCAUGAAGAAGUUCGCAGAAGAAAAGGCGGCCUGGAAAAGUAAGGAGCGAGAGAGGAUACGUGCUGCAAUAGCGUGCAUGGCAGAAGAACUUGAGGUGGAGAAGAAGCUAAGAAGACAAACAGAAAGGUUGAACAAGAAGCUAGGGAAAGAACUGGCAGAUAAAGAGGCAGCUCUGUCGAAGGCCACGAAAGAGCUCGAGAGGGAGAAGAGGGCAAAAGAGAUUUUUGAGCAAGUUUGUGAUGAGUUAGCCACAGGUCUUGGGGAGGACAGAGCACAAGUCGAAGAGCUAAAGAAAGAAUCGGAGAAAGUCCGUGAAGAAGUGGAGAAGGAGAGGGAAAUGCUUCAGCUAGCCGAUGUGUUGCGCGAGGAGAGAGUCCAGAUGAAGCUUUCUGAAGCCAAAUAUCAUUUUGAGGAGAAAAAUGCCGUUGUGGAACAGCUAAAGAAUGAACUAGAGGCUCAUUUGAGAUCCAAAACGCGCGAAGGUAGUCGCGGUUCUCCAGAUUUCAGUAAAAUCAAGGAACUCGAGGCUUAUUUAAAGAAGAUAAAUUUUGGAUCAUUUCAGAACGCGAAGAUAGAAGGGAAUGAAAUGGAAGUUGCUGCAUACAGAGUGGAAUGUGAAGACGAUUCAAAACGGACUUCAGUUGAUAGCGAUCUUCAUUCCAUCGAGCUAAGCAUGGACAAUAACAACAAGAGCUACAAAUGGAGUUACGGUUGUGGAGAUGAUACUGAAGAUGAUUCAAAGCGGACUUCGGUUGAUAAACAAUUCAAAGGGAGAAGAUCGCUCUCCGAAAAAAUACAAUGGGAAAGCAUAUGCUUAAACAAAAAUUCCAGCGGUAUCGAUUGGGAGUUUGGCGUAAAAUCUCAAUGGCAGUCAGACGGGCGGCUUAUAGAAAUAUCAGAGCUUGUUCCGCAAACUCAAACCCCAGAACAUGAAACCGAAACAAAGAAAAAUGGUUCUGUUAAGGGUCUUGCAGACCAUAGGUUAUCGAAUUCAAAAGUGGUUCCGAUCCAUAGCCUAGCCGGUACAACUUGUCAGUUCCAAUCCUUUCCGACGAAGGAUCCAGGAAACGAAGUAUGCGGAAGUUAGACUGAUGGGCCACGAGGCCACGAGGAUGGUUCGAAGCUCCAACUAGCAGGAAGAGAAGGCCAAUGCCGGGAUCAAGAGAACAUCGACGUUUUCAUGUUACUUCUUCCCCGCAACGCAUUGCUUUGCUUGUGUUUUCAAAUCUUGCCACUAAAAUUGUUUGCAUCGAUCAUGUUCGAUAUUACAGAUAGAACAAAUGUAUAUACACUUUUACACACUGCUUUGUAUGGAACCAAAUAUAAUUUGUUUUUGAGUUCUGAGAAAUAUACAUUAUUUGCUGCAUGGUUUCUUCUUGAUCUUUUAGGGAUAGCGAACGUUACGAACCUCGCCAAGUAGACUGUGACAUGGUUGCCGAAAUUCUUGACGUUCAAGGCAAGGCGCUCACCAUUUUCGCAUUAGCUGCACUUGGACAACACGAUAGCUUACAUUUUUAUGAUUGUAGAGCAUAUGCUGGAUGCAACGCGCCUAGUUCUAGAUGAGCUUGCGAAUCUGAAGCCUUGUGGGGAAUGCAUUUCAAGGGUAGAGCGAAGAACCGUAACUACUGUAACUGCUUAAGUAGGUCUGCGGUCGCAUUCAGAAUCAACAUAACAAAUUCAACAUGUUUGGGAAAACAUAUUUAGGACCUUGAUCUCCAUACACAGCAAGAAAGUACAGAACCAUAUUAAACUUCCAUCUGUAGCAGAUUCUUUAUGGUACUAAUCAGUUGGAACGAUUCACAUUUGACGAACGAGAACCAUAUGCGAAAGCAAGGCGACCAGGUUACAGAGGAAAUACAUCAUUGAUGAUAUAUGUACAAAAGGGUCGUCUUAUUCUUAUUGAACAGGCCUGCAUUUUGCAAACCACUGUCAGAUGAACUGACGAAACCUAAUUAUGGCUUAUGUGAGACUGCGCGAUCGGUCUUUGCUGAGGCUGAUGUGAAAGUAACUGGAGUUGCUGGAUGGUCCCUCACGAUCAAGCUAAGCACUUCGGGCCGUGAAUAGUGGCCAACCACAUCAAAGUCAAAUUUCGCCCUUGCUAUUUCUCCAAGAUCUAUGCAACAUUUGGACAUUAGAAAUAUCAGAGCUCAGUCUCCUUAAACAAAACAGCUAAAACUGUAGACAUAGUAUGACAGUUUUACUACAGGCGGAAUGCAUCUCUCUUUAUACUGAUUUCUUUGUUUACAGUUUCGGUUGUAUAGUCCACUAAAUGAGUGCUUAUUUGAUUUACCACUAUAUUCGAUUCCUCCUAUGUGAGUUUGUGGGAUCAUUCCGAACUUCGAGCUGGCAAUAUAACUAUUUAAGGAAAACACUUGGUCCUCAUGAAACGUAGCCACAAGCUUGCAACCAUAACCACCGUAAUCUAUGUGUGUGUGUGAGAGAGAGGAUCAAUCAAAUUAUAUUAUCAACUAAACCAUAUUGCCUCGCAACAUACACAUAACAGCACAACAGAGAGCCUAGAUCAUAGAGUUUCAGUAAAUUAUACCAACACUUACUUUCAAAUACCUCUUAUUUUUAAAAGCUCUGUACCGCUUCCCCGCCAUAUUGGAAUUUAGAGAAACUUCUUAUACCAGACUAGGGUUCUCAUUUUUCUAGAAAUGUUACAUUAAGGUUGCAUAUCAACUGAUGCAUCUGGUGUCCGUUUUAUGUUUAAUAUUAUCUGAAACGGACAAAAUAUAGGAAAUAUCAUAAAGGCAGUUGUAGUAACUUGAGGUUAAGUUAUGCUGAAAUCUAUUAUGGGAUGUGAGGGUACUUUAAUUUCUGAAAACAGAAUGGAGGUUCCUGCCAUUUCGCUUAAGUUGAAGUUUUUCUAAUUUCCACUAUAUCUCAAAGCCGGAUUGUUGUAGCUCAAAAUUAUGUCAGCACAGCUUCCAAUCUAGAUGCUUAAUUGCUGUUAGAAGAGAAUAAGCAGAUGACAUACCGAGAUCUGCUGAGAUGAGUGCCUCCCCAUCAUAAUUGGGUCCAGCAAGAAUAGUCCCCGACGGUGAGAUAAUAACACUGCCUCCAGCACAGACGACAGAAUCUGGAGCAGGUUCCUCUCCUGCAAAUGCAUAUUCUGGAGGAGGGGGGUAGUCUUUCCUUCGACAGAACUGAUUGGCUGAUAGGACAAAACACCCACCCUCUAAGGCAAUAUGAGUCAUUGAUGCUUGCCAUAAAUCCCUGGAAUCAGCCGUAGGAGCACAAUAUAUCUCAAUGCCUGCACACAACAAAGCAUCCAGCAUCAAGUCAUAGUACUAAAGUAUCAAAAGCAAUACUAAGAACGCCUUUAAACUCCACCAAGAAAUGCGUCGUUUCUACCAUUAAUUUUCAUGUUCACGUUGAGGUAAGAACUGUUUUGAACUAAAACACAGUUGAUGCACAAAGUUGGAUCAACUUAGAUCGGACCCUAAAACCACACAAACGAACAGGAACACAAAGAUGUAUCAUGGUUCACCUUCACCUGAAGUUGGGCUAUGUUCAUGCUGGUGUAGUUCUGUUUCAUUAUGCAAAUGUAGGUUACAUUGUACAGGAGUUUGAGAGAGUAAAGUCUAGGGUUUACCAUGAGAGUCCUCUCUCAAACGAGGGUGGGGUUGCCCUUAUAGAGUAAAGGAUAAAAAAAAAAAAAAAAAAAGGUCGUACCCAGUGCACAAAGCUCCCGCUUUACGCAGGGUCUGGGAGAGGUGAAUGUCGGCUAGCCUUACCCCCAUUUAUGGAGAGGCUGCUCCCAAUAUAGAGUAAAGGAUAGAAUAGGAAAAAAAGUAGCUAGGAAAAACCAUGUAUUUAAUGGAUGGUAAAUUGCCAACUUGGUAAGGACAACCAGACUAUGCCACAAAUGUUGGCAGACUAUUCUUUAAGUCUUUAGAAAGAAGUGUAAGUGUAAAUCAAGCCCGUGUCUUAUUUCAAUUUGAGUUAAUUGAGUAGCAACAUAAUCAACCAAUCGCACAGGAACCUAGAAACUGACUCAACCCCACAUAAAGAUCGCAGAACAGUAUACUUAACUCAACUAACUAGAUAGCCAAAUAAUCUUUUUGACCUGAUACCGGUCUGUAUACAAGUUAACACCCCAUAUGGAACUCAAACUUGCAUGGCAAAGCAUGAAAACUGGAAGUAAGCAGUUUCAAACAGGGCUAUAGCUUGGAAGUAAAAUGAGAAACCCAGAUAGUAUUGACUGCCCAUGUAAAGCCAUCCUCCAUUCAUAUAGCACUAAACUAAAUGAUGCAAUUACGAACACCAAAAUAAGAAAUGAAAAAAAAUUGUACAAUAGCUUCAAAGAAAACUUAAGUAUUUAAAAAGUGAGUAAAAAAUAAUUAAUGAAGUUGUGAUAUUUCAAAAUUUCCUGUUCAAAUAACUAACCUUUAGCAUACAUUGCUGUCCUUAGAAGUGGCAUCUUAUUUUCCCAACAAAUGGCAGCACCUAUUUUUCCAAUCGGAGUCUCAAACACAGGAAUUGUAGAUCCAUCUCCAAAUCCCCAAAUGAUCCGCUCCAGUGCUGUGGGCAUCAUUUUUCGGUGCUUUCCCAAGUAGCAACCUUGAGAAUCAAAAAACAGAACAGUGCAAUAGAGUGUAUAUCCAUCUCUCUCUAUCACACCCAUUACCAGGAAUACCUUGUACUUUCCAGCCAUUGCUGCCAAUCGAUCAACUUCAGGACCUGCAUUAGUUAACAAAAAAAGUGAAACUACAUAUCAUAUGUUCACAAUUCUAUUCAUAGACUGCAUUUGGGUCAAACAAUGACAAUUUUAGAACACAGUGUCCGCCUUCGUUUUGAUAUAAGACCAAAAUAUGAUAGCAUGCCUCAGUAAAGUUAUUAACACUUGGUGUAACAUAAGAUUUGAAUUCCGUAUAUUAGGAAAACAAUAAGCCAACUGAGAUACUUCUAAUAAAAUUUCGUUGAUAAGAUCCACUUGCAAAACAGUGGUGUAGAAUGUUUCGCUGAGAGCCUGACAUGAACCACUAGUGUCCUUUUUUAGCAACCACAAUUAACUCAUGAAGGGCAGGACAGAUAUGCCCGCACUUCUCAUGCCAACCACUGGUAUCCUUUUGGCCAAGUAAAAACAGUUAAGAUGUUAGUUCUAUUCAAUGGAUUGAGAGACCAUUUUCCAAUGAACUAAUGUUCUUUUUUGAACUUUGACAGGUAAAAAGAAAUAAUAGUAUAACCAACAAAAAAGAAGAAAAAACAAAGGAAGUCUUUUCCAACUUUUUUUUUUUUUAAUUUUUUUGUUGUUGUUUUUGCAUCCAAACAUUCAACAGAGUUUUCGCCAAAAAACAAAUAUUCACUAGAAUCAAUUUCCUCUGGAAUCUAACUUUCAUUAGAAAAAAAAAAGGACGGCAGUUAAUUCUCUUCACUACAACAAAGCAACGAAAUUAUAAGUUAUAGCUACUAAUUGAAAUUGAAGUUUAACAAUAAACUGAUGCUUAACCACAGCCAUAGCCAUAGUAGUUCAUUGCACCACAGGUCCACAGCUUAAAUUUUCUUCCAAAAAACAAAGAACUUAUAGCAACUAACAGACGAAUUUGAAGCUUAAACACCAACUGACAUUUCAAUGCACCGAAUGCAUUUCAAUCCACCAUUCAAUCAACCUGGGAAGUCUAAUGAAUUCAUUUUAUCCCAGUUUCUUACACAUGACCAAUGCAUGAAAUCAUCAAGAAAGAAAAAAACAAAGUAGUUUUACCAGGCACAUCAAUGGCAGCAGCAUGAUACUUUCUGAAGUCUUCUUUACCCUUAGCUGUUCUGUUCCCAAUGACAACGCCAAAAUUCGACCCACGUGGAUAACCACCCACAAAUGCUUCAGGAAACACAACCAGCUGGGCACCAUAUCCAGCUGCUUCAGCCAAUAACCUCUCAGCCUUAUCUACGCAUUCAAUCAGAAAUCAGAUCCACCAAAAAUACAAAAUAUCUUCAAUUUACCUAAGAAACAUGAAUGCAGCUAAUUGGGUUAGAUCAAAAAUCAUAUAUCGAAAGCUUAAUUUCCAAUGUAGUCAGGAUUCAGGAAUGAAAAGAUAAAUAACAAUUGAAAUUUAUACUUCAGAAAUUCUGGCUAGGAAUUUAUGCAUUUUCUUUUCAACAGGUCAACUGGACCAAUCACCAUAUUUGCAUCAGUCUUGUAUAUGAUUCUCAAACAAAAAUAUGUUGGGAAAUCUACAAGCAACCCCUAUGUGGUUUACCCCAUUUAACAAAUGAAUUGUGGUCUGUUAGUCGUUGUGGUCUCCUCGGGUAGUCAAAUCUGGUUGGACCGAAAAUAUAUUCCUUUCUUAUACCUGAACACGUAUCACUGGCAACCUCCAAAAAGAAGUACUUCCUCAUCAGUCGUGACCAUACUACUCUUUCUCCCCAAGUUUUCCUCUCUCAGAAUUCAAGAGCCAAAUCACGCAAGGAACGUAUAGAAGUCUAAAUUUCUUCUUGUUCCCUUAUCAACCCACUCAUACUCUGAAAGUCUGAAUGGUCAAGAGGGGAACCCUCACAAGAAGAAAUGUUUUACCACAAUCUCAACGCAAUUGGAAAUGAAGAAAAACAAUCAAUGUCUUCAGCUGCCUCUCUACAUGUGAUACACCAAGUUUUUUUCGAGCUUUAGAGUCGAGUAUAGCUAAGAGGUCGCACUUGGUGCGAUGGCAAGUGCCUUCGCCCAUGAGCGGUAGGUCUCGGGUUCGAGACUUGGGAGCAGCCUCUCCAUAAAUGGGGGUAAGGCUAGCCGACAUUCACCUCUCCCAGACCCUGCGUAAAGCGGGAGCCUUGUGCACUGGGUACGACCUUUUUAGAGUCGAGUAUAGCUAAGAUGGUAUGAGCCUAAUAUUUUGUUUGAGCUCAGCUCAUUUCUUUUACAAUCUGAGUUCAAACAAGACGAGUCAAUCUCAAAUUGUAUCGACCCAAUUUACAACCUACACUAAUUAACAAUAUUUCCACAAAACAAGAAGUAAAAAAAUAUACAACCACAGCAAUUUUGAGAUUUUGAGCAGGCAGCAUUGGAUUUUUUUUUUUGAACGAAUGAUAUUUUAUUCACGUGGGUUGGACUAAUCCUCACAAUGAGCUAGCAAUAAUGUGGUUCAAAUUCGUGUUGGACAAGAAUCGAGGUAAGACCUCUCACAAAAUCAUUAAACGAAUUUUACAAGUUGUCAAAGGAUUAACAAAUUUUACAAGUUACUCGAAAUUAAUGAGAAGCUGAAACAAUAAACUGAAGAAAAAAAAACAAAAAUCCAAAACCCAAAAUUGUAAAGUUAAAACCUCUGAAUUGGAUUUGGGAAAGCAACACAAACAUAAACAUAAACAGUGAGAAGGAAAAUGAAGAAGUAAAUAAAAAAGAGUUGGGAGUCAGAUGAGAAAGAAAAGGGACCUAGAGUGGCAGGGGUGUCGUAGAAGACGGUGGAGGCUUGGACGACGGUGGCGCGGACAGUGGGGGCGGAGUAGUCGGUUCCCAUGUCGACCUCCGCGAUCAGUGGGGAAGACGAGGGUACCAGAGCCAUUUGAAUUUAAUCUUUUGCGUUUCUUGUGUAUUUUCUGUGUAUGCGGCUGAAGAAGGAGGAGGACCGAUCAAUUUCGUAUGACGACAAUUUGUGAUGAAUAUGCGUUGUGUGAGUGAGGAGUGAUGGGCAUUGGAAACUCUAGAAACUCGAAAGUGUCGUGUGAAUUGUUGGUGGUGUGGCGGCUAUUGUUUUUGGCACGUGAUAUAGAAAUAAAGAAUAGAUCUCACUUUAAUAUUCUGAUAAAGCAUUUUAGUUCAGUAAUGUUAUUCUUAUCAUAGUUUUAUAUUAUUUUAUAUGACAUCUGAUAUGACCAGUUACAUCAUUUACAUUAAAAACUUUUAAUAAACCAAUAAUUAAAAAAAGUAGAAUUAAAUGGUUAUUGUGGCAUACGAAAAGUCUUUUCCUUCCUUCCUUCCCUUUCAAUCCUGUUUCUUCUUCCACGCCAAUUCUUUCACGCCAUUUUUUCAGGUCAGUCAAAUCCACCACAAUCUAAAUUAAAUCUUAUACGGCAAUUUUAUGCACUCCCCUAUUUGGAUUAUUGGUACGCGUCUAUCAUUUUUUUCGAUGAACCUUGUCGUACACUUGCAGUGGAAUUUUCCAAACUCGUUCAAUUCCGGUCAGCCCUAAAACCCUGAUUUAGGAGAUGGAAUGUCUCCGGUGUCUUAAAACUGAAUUUGAAUCACUAGGAACAUUCGAAGUUGGACCAUGAGAAUUCUCGGAUGUCUCCGAGCUCUUGUUCUCUACAUGCCCCUUCCCCACAGACCACAAUUUGUCGAAGAUUCUCCUUGACCUAGAUGGCAUCAAUUGUGCACCAUAAUCUAAAUUAAAUCUCAUACGGCAAUCUCAACUAAUUUAGAUUGUGGUGGAUUUGAUUGAUCUGAAAAAAUGGCGUGAAAGAACUAGCGUGGAAGAAGAAAUGGGAGAAUAAGCAGGAUUGAACGCAAAAGUAAGGAGAAGACCCAUCGUAUGCCACAAUCACCAUUUAAUUAUUUUUUAUUUUAUUUUAUGAAAAAACGAAAAUAUAUUAAAGAGAAGUUCCCCUAGUACAUCCAGACCCAGUACAAUAAAAAAGGAAAGCUAGACUAGCAGAAGACGGGAUGGACCUAUCCCAAACAUGGAGGUUUGCGUGCUGAAAACCCACAUCCGUGAUGGCAUCAACCACAAAAUUUGCUUCACGGAAAACAUGAUUCCAUAAGAUGUACUAAAACGACCUGGCAAUGAGUUUGAUGUCCUCAACAAUAUUCCUCACUCUCCUAGGCACACCGCUGAUUCCCUGGAACGCAUCAACAACCAGCUUUGAAUCUCCCUCUACCAUUAUCUUCUUAAGACCUCUACUCCUCGCCAUCCAGAGCGCAUCCCUGAGAGCAAGGCAUUCCGCAAGCCAUUACCGGUUCUCCUCGGUCAUUGCUUAAGAUAAAACCUGCUGCUGCUACAAAGUUCCUGACGGAACCGUCAACCGUCAAAAUUCAGUUUGAAGAAAUCGUCCCUCGACGGUUGUACUCAUUUGCUUCCUGCAAGCUACAGAAAUUUUCUUAUUGACAUUGUUGUACUCAUUUGCCAUACUAGUCGCCAAAAAAACCACCCUAGAAGGGUAAGCUUUGGCUUUGUUGAAAACUACUUGAUUUAUCAUCUUCCAAAUUUGCCAGCAAAUAAUAAGAGCAUAACUAAGAUAUAAUAAAUUCUCAUUAUCAUUAUAAUCUUAGGAGCAAGGAAGAAAAAAUCGAUAAUAUCAGCGAAAUAUCGCCGAUAUUAUCGUUUUUUUGAAGUUUCGAAAUUUUUUUAACUAUCCAACCUAUUUUCGUUAAAAUAUCACAAUAUUAUCGAUAAUAUCGAAAAUAUCACGAUAUUUUCAAAAUUAUCAAUAAUAUUGCAAUAUUUUAUUAAAAAAAUACUUAAAUAUGUUAAAUAAACUCAACACAUACUUCACUUGAUCAUGGCCCAAAGACCAAACAAGCUUUGAAUAUCUCAACAGAGGAGUGUGGCUUUUAUAGGAAAAAUGGCUUGCUCACUUCCUUGCAUGGGCGAUGUGGGACUCGCCCAAUGGGAGAAAAAAUCAAAAUUUCGGCCGAAAUUUUACACCCACUUUAAACGGUCAUAACUUUGUCAAAACUCAACGAAAUCAAGCAAGACAAAAACAAAAGUUGUAGCCCUCGAAGAGACGAAGAGAAUGGUACCUCACACGACGUCUGAAUGGUCGUGGUUUUGCCGGAAAAUGCCUCGAAAGUCACUGAGGUCGCCGGAAACUGGGUAAGAUUCAAAUGAGUAUAACUUUUUCAAUACUCAACGAAAUUGAGUGAAACAAAAAGGAAAGUUGUACUACUCGACGAGACGAAGAGAUUGAUACCUUGCACACUGGCCAACUCGCAGUGGUUUGGCCGGAAAUUGCCUCGAAAGCUACUGAGGUCGCCGGAAACUGGGUAAGAUUCAAAUGAGUAUAACUUUUUCAAUACGCAACGAAAUUGAGUGAAACAAAAAGGAAAGUUGUAGCCCUCGAAGAGACGAAAAGAAUGGUACCUCACACGACAUCUGACUCAUUGUGGUUUGGCCGGAAAUUGCCUCGAAAGCUACUGAGGUCGCCGGAAAACUGGGUAAGAUUCAAAUGAGUAUAACUUUUUUCAAUACGCAACGAAAUUGAGUGAAACAAAAAGGAAAGUUGUAGCCCUCGAAGAGACGAAGAGAUUGAUACCUUGCACGCCGCCCAAAAUUCAAUUGACACACUCCUGGCUUCCAAAAUUCAAUACUUUUACUUUAUAUCAACUUGAAAAAACAUAAUCGGCAUCCAAAUUAAAGUUUAGUCUUAUUCAAUGUAUUGAUUUUCAAUUGUUAAUUGAUAUACUAUAAUUUGGAACUUCAACGCCUAGACGCAUGCUUAUGUGUAAGAAAUUUUAAAUUGUCAAAUUCGGCACAUUAUUCUUCAUCAUUUUAUUCACUCCCUUUUUUUUUUUAAUAUCCUAAAUAAAACCUCCAAAUAUUGUACUAAUUAAUUAUAUAUAAAUGAUUAUGGUGUGUUUAAACUUCUUUCAUUAAUUACUACAUAUUUUCUACACUCACAAUGUUUGCCAGCUCGCUAUAUAAUCAACUUAAAUCAGUUAAAUCCAUCAUGCAAUGCAUUUCCUUCCAAUUUUUUGUGAUAAACUAAUAGAUAAUUGACUAAAUAAACAUCCUACAAAGUUUCAUUAAAAAUUUCCAAGUUUUUCUUACAAUUUCCGUGGUUUCCAUGUAAUUUUUAUCGAUAUCGAUAUUAUCCCGAUAUUUCCAUCGAUAUUUCCGUGUUUUCGGACUACCGAUAUUUCCGAUAUUACCGAUAUUUUCUUCCUUGCUUAGGAGUAAAGGCAUUCAAGAAAACUGCAACUAUUGUGAUUGAUAGGAGGGUGGACUUUUGGGCUAAAAUUCAAAACUUGUGGAGCACACUUGCAAUUAAUAAAAAGGAAAACUAAUGAAAAAUGCUUGAAAACUUUAAGUUUUAAUGAUAAAGACAAAAUAAAGGGUAAAGUGAAUAGUACAUGAUUGACUUUUUAGUGUAAAAAUGUGGUUUUUCGUAAAGUGAACAGUACCGGGUGUUUUUCGUUAAAGUUCCCUUAAUAAAAUGGUGAUUUUGGUCUUCAGGAUCCACAUUACAUAAUAAACAAGUAUCACUUAUUGUAUUAAUAAACCUAUGAAUUUUACUCCUAGUUUGAAGCUUAUUUAGGAUUAGGAUCAAAAGCCAACUAAAUAUUUUAACUUUAUUGGGAAUAUUAAGCUUCCAUAUUCUUUUUAACAACUUAUCCUUUAAAUCAUCACUGAUCAUGGAAUUUUGAAUCCAAUUUGCGGAUUUAACACUGAAGUUUCCAUUAGCAUUCAAACCCCAACAUAACGAAUCAUUUUGAUCGAGAGAGGUAACGAAAUACUGCAUAUUUUCUCAGUGACUUCCUCAUCCACCACCUCUCUCAACCACUCCUAUUCCAGGUUCCAUUUACAAUAAAAUGACUUACCCUACGGUUUAAGUCAAUAUCCUUUCCCCAAAGAAACCUCCUAUUCUCCUUAUCAAGCAUCUUAGUUAGCUUAUCUGGACAUUUAAAGCACGACAUCAUGUGAUUUGGCAUACCGCUAAGAUUGGCCUUGAUCAAGGUAACUCUACCACUAGCACCAACCUAAUAUAAUCCCAAUUCAACAUAUCAUAGGCUUAUUGCACCCGUUCUCCCUUUUCUACGCUUAAAAGUUGACAGAAUCUCAUGAGCAAUUAGAAUAUUAUCAUGUAUGGAUCUCCUAGGAGCAAAAGCACCCUGAUUAUUCGAAAUGUGUGAAAACUGUAUUUGACCAGAAUGAUUUUCAUUGAUAGAAUGAUCAGUAUAAAUAAUACAAUAUCUUUCCUUGUACAACAAGAAAACCUAGAAUCUAGGAAUACAUCAAUAGAAAGUAUCAAUUACAAAUCAAUCAUAUAAUUCUUUCCUAUCUAAUUACAUUGACUUUCUAACACUCCCCCUCAAGUUGGAGAGUGAAUGUCAAGAACACCCAACUUGCACGACAUGGAUGAAAAUUUUUCUUUGCCUAAGGCCUUUGUAAAAAUGUCUGCCAAUUGUUGAGAAGAACUGACAUAUCGAGUAGCUAUAGAGCCGUCUAAAAUCUUGUCCCGAAUGAAAUGACAAUCCAUCUCUAUGUGACGUGUUCUCUCAUGAAAGACAGGGUUGGCAGCAAUAUGCAAUGCUGCCUGGUUAUCACAUGACAUAAUAGCAGGCCCUGAAAUUGGUACAUGCAAAUCUGUUAACAAAUGUCGUAACCAAAUGAGCUCGCAACAUGUCCCAGCCAUGGCCCUAUAUUCGGCUUCAGCACUAGAAAGUGAGACGGUUUUCUGCCUCUUAGUCCUCCACGAAAUCAACGAAUUCCCCAAGAAUAUACAAUACCCAGUUGUAGAGCGGCGAGUUAUCGGACAACCGGCCCAAUCCGAAUCGCAAAAAGCUCUCAAAAUUAACUUAUUAUCUGACUGAAAAUAUAAGCCCUGACCUGGUGUAGACUUCAAAUACCGCACAAUUCGAAGUGCUGCAUCCAUAUGUGGUUGACGCGGUUCAUGCAUAAAGCGGCUGAGUACAUGAACGGAGUAUAUGAUGUCCGGUCUAGUAAUAGUAAGAUAAAUCAAGCGUCCAACCAAUCUUCGAUACAGAGAUGGGUCUUUGAGUGGUUCACCUUUGUCUGAAAGUUUGUUUUCCUCCAUUGGAAAUCCGACGGGUUUUGCACCUAAAAGACCACAAUCCUUGAUAAUUUCAAGGGCAUACUUUCUUUGUGAAAUACAUAAUCCUUUUUUAGAACGAGAAACUUCAAUACCCAGAAAGUAUUUCAAAUUGCCAAGAUCCUUAAUGCGAAAGCGAGUAUGAAGGAACCGUUUGAGAGCAUUAAUGGCAUCUAAAUUGUUGCCCGUAAUAAUAAUAUCAUCAACGUAAAUCAACAAAGCUGUGAAGGAUGUACCAUUUUUUUUUGUGAAGAGAGAAUAAUCCGCUUUGGACUGAGUGAAACCAGCGGCAAGGAUAGCUUCUGUGAAUUUUGCAAACCACUGUCGAGAGCUUGCUUGAGGCCAUAUAAGGACUUGUUGAGGCGGCACACAAGGUUCUCCCCCUGACGCCGAAGACCAGGAGGAGGGGACAUGUAAAUUUCUUCCUGAAGGUUGAUGUGAAAAAUAAGUUAACACACAAAAUUAAACCCUCUUUUUAUCAAUUGUAGCAAAGUAUGUAAAUAGGGAUCGUUCUAGACCGGGGAUUAGGAGGGAUUGCUAAACACUUGAAAACUGACUUAGAAAUGUAAAAACAAAGUUUAAAGCACUAGAUUAGACUCAAAGAAUGCAAAACUCACGUUAAAAUACUAAAACGAACCAAAAGAAUCAAAACAGCAACCAAACACUCAAAACUGCCUAAAAACCACUUUCUGGGCAGUUUUGGGACUCUAACUCAACUUGGACGAAUUUUGGUUUCCUAGUGACCUAAAACACCUAAAAACAUAAACCAACACACUUUCCAAUUAAUCUAGGAAUUCAAAAUAAUUGGGGAUUUGAUUUGGACGAAAAUAAACUUAAAUGGCAGAUUGUAAGAGAAACAGAUUGUAAUACAAAGUUAUGAAGAAUCAAUGGAUGAUGGAAUGGCUAAGGGGUUCUUCUCCACACAUGAAAUAUAUGCAACGUAAAUCAAUUUCCAGUUAUCAAUUCAAUAAGUUAUGAACCUCGACACUCCAAGUUAAUUAGGUCCGCUUAAAUUAACCUUCAGAUUUCCCUAGGAUCAUUGAAUUGGAUGAAUAUGCAUCGCAAACAAAUUAUUCCUAACAAGUUCUUUAUAUGAACAGCAUGAUAAAGACACAAGUUAGAAUCAUUACGUUCUUUGGAAAUCAUAAGCAUCGACAAGGCAUUCGUAACUAUGACAAGCAUGAUACUCUUGCCAGGAAUCUACUUAACACGAUCGUGACUAGCGACCUUCACUACUUACGAAUAUAAAUUCAUAACGAUUAGGUGAAACAAAUUUAUAUCCUAGCAUCAAAUUCAAGCAUGCAAAUUAAGCAUGCACUCUCAAUCAACAUACAAGAAUAAGUUCUAAAUCAAAUGGUUAAGCAAAUUGUAUUCAUGACUUAUGUAACAAUAACUGGAAAUAAUCAACUCAUUUCACAUAUAUAAUCAUGGUUUUGAAUACACCCUUAGCCAAAAACGAAAUUAGCCAAUCAUACUUAAAGAAAAACAAAGAUUACAUGAAUUAGACAUUAAAAUCCAAAGAAAGAAAACACCUAGAAUGCUCCAACUUGGCAGCAAGUGCAUCCAAGAUUCCUCCUUUCCAUUGCUUGCGGCAGAUUGGGUUAUGGACAAGUUUUGGGUAGUUUUAUGGUGUAGAAUGGAUGGGGAAUGGUAUGGAAAGGUUUAGGGUGAGUGUAGAGGAGUGUUUGAUGGUUGGAGGGUGGUGGAGAACUCAGCAAAAAGGGUGGAAGAGGGUGGAGUGGCUGUUAUGUUUUCUGGGCACUAGAAUGGUGUUUUUGGGGUGUUUUGCUGCCUAAGGUGAGUAUGGACGAAUUUUCUGCAUGAAUGAUGAAUAUGGGAGCUUCAACCCUUUGCCAAGGGUUGUAAACAUGUAUAUAUAGGCCCCAAAAACCCUAAAGAAUCAGAUUAGGCAGUGGGGAAAUGCAUAGUAAGGAGGGUGAAUUUGUGGUGUGCAAUGGUCCAAGGAUGAAAAUGGAGCAAUGAUGCAAAGUAUGGAGGGUAAAAUGGAGUGGUAUUUCAGCUAGGGAGCAUGAAUGAUUGUGUUUAUUGCAUGGAAAUGAAAAGGGGAGGUGAAAUGUUUCAGAAAUUAGUUAAAGGUGCAGCAACAUGUGUUGCACAAGGCAUUGGAUCCCAAAUGUGAAUGAUGGAGCAUCAAUUGGUGCAUGGAAUGGUUGUGAAAUCUGAUGGGUGAAGGGAACAAGAGGUAUGCAACAAUUGAGUGUGAUAAUUGAGUGUAUUGAGGCAUGAAAUCAGAAAUAUUUUAGGGGACAAGGAUGAUUAAGCAUGCAUGGGAAUCCAAAGGGAAUGCUAUGUGGAUUGCAUGGCAAGGAUGUAUGUCCUUUUGUGGCUGAGUUCAUGAUCCUUUGUACACUAAUUCUUCACAUUCUUAGCCUCUUUAAGUCUUCAAUUUCGUCCAAACCUUGGUUCCAAAUAUGUGACAUGCAUUCCAAGCUCCAUUUUGCUCCAAAAUGCUCCAAAAUGCAUCUUCUUGCCUACUUUGUCCUUAAAAUCUGAAAACACACGAAAAUGACAUUAAACAUUAAAAUAACUAAGGAAACACGACAUAAAUGCACAAGAACAAGCUAACUAAGUCGCAUAAAUAUGCUCCUAUCAAAGGUGGCCAUGAAGAAAGGCAUUAUGAACAUCAAAUUGUUGGAGAGACCAUCCUUAACCAGCGGCAAGAGCAAGAAGGCAGCGAACUGUGAUCAUUUUGGCGGUGGGAGAGAAAGUGUCAUGAUAAUCAAUUCCCUCUUCUUGAGUGAAUCCUUUGGCCACUAAACGAGCUUUGUAGCGCUCGAUAGAACCGUCGGCAUGAUGCUUAAUUUUGUAGACCCACUUACAAUCAAUGGGACGCUUUCCGGGAGGAAGCGAAGUAAGAGUCCAGGUAUUGUUGGAAGUAAGUGCCUCAAGUUCUGAAUCCAUGGCCUUGCGCCAAUGAGGGUCUUGAAUAGCCUCCGCAAAAGAAGAAGGUUCUAUACUUCGACUAAUGUGAGCAACAAAAGAAAGAUGCAAUGGUGAAUAUCUGUGAUAGGAAAUAGAAUUACAAAUGGGAUAACGAGUACCUCUGGGGGAACCGGAUGACGAAGGCGACGAAGAUUGGAGUGGGGGCAGUAUCACCUGCGAGCAAACGUAGUCACGGAGACGGACAUUAGGCUCCUUGUGACGUGUGGAAACACGGGUGGGGUGAGCAUGAAUGGAGGGUCAGGGGUGGGGUCCGUGAUGGGGUGAGAGGGAGAAGGAUGGGAGGAUGGGUCAGGUGGUGGGGAUGAGUCAAAUGGUGGGUCAAGCGGUGCGGAAGUGGGGGGGACAAGAUCGAGUAGGGAAGGAAAAGGAGAUGGGGAAAAAGUGUCUGGGGUGUUGGAGUCAAGUGGGAUGGGUAAAGGUGUGGAAGAAGGUAAAUCGAGUAAGGUAGGAGAGAGUGCAGCGGUGGUAGAUGGGUCAAAAGGGAAUGUGUCUUCAAGGAAAGUAACAUCCCUAUUUGUGAAAAUUUUGUGUGUCUCAAGAUCAUAAAGUUUAUAAGCCUUUUGACCUGGGGGAUAACCAAGAAAAACGCAGCGAUGAGCCCUGGGAGAGAACUUGGAGGGAGGGUGGACAGAUGUGGCAUAUGCAAGACAACCGAAGACACGCAUAUGGGAAUAAGAAGGUGGCUUGGUGUAUAGUAUCUCAAAGGGCGAUUUUCUGGAAAGUAGUGGUGUAGGAAGACGGUUGAUGAGAUAAGUGGCGGUGAGAACACACUCCCCCCAAAAUUUAACUGGUAAAUGAGACUGGAAACGCAAAGCUCGGGCAGUUUCUAGGAUGUGGCAAUGCUUGCGUUCUACGACACCAUUUUGUUGGGGUGUGUAAACACAAGAGUGUUGAUAAAUGAUCCCAUUGUCAGAGAAGAAAUCCCGCAUGGAAUAAAAUUCUCCCCCAUUAUCGACUCUAAUUUGUUUGAUUUUGGUGUGAAAUUGAGUUUCAAUAUAAGCAAAGAAUGUUUUGAGGGUGGGUUGUGUUUCAUGUUUGUGUCGCAUUAAGAAAAUCCAGGUGAAACGAGAAAAUCAUCAACUAUAGUUAAGAAAUAGUGAGCACCAGUAAGGGAGGCAGUCUUAUGAGGACCCCAAAUGUCACAAUGCAAAAGUUCAAAAAAAUUAGAAGUUGAAAUAGAGCUACUACUAAAAGGUUGGCGAGUUUGUUUCGCCAACGGACAAACAUGGCAAUGAUGACUGGACUCAAAAUCGAAGUUUAAUGUGUUAUUUGCUAAAAAUUGUAGACGCCCAAGAGAAGGAUGCCCUAGACGGCGGUGCCAAAGAUCAGUAGAGAGGGUGAUGUGGUGACAGGAGGGUCGGGUGUGUAGAGAGGAAGUAGAAGCCAACGCCACAAGGUAAUAGAGAUUGCCCCGUCGCUUACCAACACCAAUCGUCACCUUCGAAAUCAGGUCCUGUAAAAUGCACCAAGAGGGAAAAAAGUCACUGAGCAAUGUAACCCAUCUGUAAUUUUUCCAACAGAUAACAAAUCAACUUGAAAAGAAUGCACGCAUAGAACAUCUUUCAAUUGUAGUAAAUCACUUAAUUGAAUGUUGCCAAUCGAAGUAAUAGAAGCCUUCUCUCCGCUAGGCAGUGAGACAGGCGGCAAAGAGGUAUUGGUAAUGGAAUUUGUCAAUAAAUGAGACGAGCAAGUGAUGUGAUCCGUGGCUCCACUGUUGAUGAUCCAUCGACCAGGAACAAGCGGAGACAAACCUGAGGGUGGUGGAGAAGUGAGAGCGGCAUGGGCUUGUGGUCCUUCAUUCGUAGCUUGAGGUUUGUUAUUCUUGGAGGUCAAGGCAGAAAAGAUGUCUGCAUAUUGUUUCUCGGACAGGUUGGGCAUAGCAGCAUGAAGGUCUUGGAUGGUGGGAGUAGAAGCAACGUGGUGAGUAGAAGAACCUCCACGAGAGAAGCCGCUGCCACCACCAGUUGGUUUGGAGUUGCGUGUCUUGUUAGAAUUGUGACGGGGAUGAUCCGGUGGAUAACCAUUUUUCUGCCAACAAGUCUCAAUGGUAUGAUACUUAGUAUCGCAGUAAGAGCAGUGAAGAGGAGGUCGACUGUUGCUGCUGGUCUGCGACUGUUGGUGCUGCUUCUUGGAUGAUUGUUGCUGAUGGCGAACUGCCAUGGCUGCUGGUUCAGUCAGGUUGCGGGAUCCAGCGCCUAACUCACGUUGUGGGAUCCCAUGAGGAACUGCAUAAGUCUAUCGGUUUCGUGUUAUGCUCCACAAGUGCAGAUUGUAGAAGAACGAUAGGAGGCCAACUCAUCCCAAAUGCCCUUCAAUUUGGUGUAAUAAACAGCCACAGAUUGUUGGCCUUGGGUGAGAGAGGCAAUCUCUCGUUGAAGUUGAAAAAUUCGUGGAGCAUUGCUCUGGGAAAAUCUUUCCCGAAGAUCUUCCCAAACUUCAGAGGCUGUCUUCAAGUAAAGAAUGGAGUCUGAAAUGUCAGAGUCAAUGGAAUUGAUAAUCCACGCAAGUAGCAUGUUAUUGCACCUCUGCCAUGCGGCGUAAGCAUCGGGUUGUUUGGUUUCAGAUGGCUCACCUUGCCAUUAAUAAAACCAAUUUUGUUCUUGGCACCUAAGGAGAUUUCCAUAGCUCGGCACCAAGUGUUGUAAUUGUCCCCGGUUAACUUUUUGGAGACUAGAAUCAAACCAGGAUGAUCUGAAGGAUGAAGAGAAUAAGGGUCGGCAAAGGUCUCGCCGUCGCCCUUCUUGAUAAUGGCGGUGUCGCUGUCACCCAUGGAAAAGGAUGGCAACGAAAAAAAGCUGGUAAUUUCGGCAGAGGAGAGAGCUAGGGUUUGUAACCUGCUCUGGAUACCAUGUGAAAACUGUAUUUGACCAGAAUGAUUUUCAUUGAUAGAAUGAUUAGUAUAAAUAAUACAAUAUCUUUCCUUGUACAACAAGAAAACCUAGAAUCUAGGAAUACAUCAAUAGAAAGUAUCAAUUACAAAUCAAUCAUAUAAUUCUUUCCUAUCUAAUUACAUUGACUUUCUAACAAAAUGCACUUUUCUAUUAUUGGCUUAAGUCUAUUCACUAUCAGCUUCGUUAUAAUUUUGUAUGUCACAUUACAUAAGCUAAUGGGUCUAAAGUUAUUUACUGUUUCUGGAUUUUCUACUUUAGGAAUGAGCACAAUAUUCGUAUGAUUAAUUAGUUUUAGGCUCGAACCAUUCAUAAGGAAGUCUUUGACUAACCUUAUGAUUGAAGGCCCAACAACAUCCCAACACUUCUGGUAAAACACAGCUUGAAAACCAUCCGUUCCCGGGGCCUUCAUCGCGCCAAUGCCAUUUACAACCUUCCAAAUUUCAUCAUCACUAACUGGAUCAAGCAAGGUCAAAUUCUGGUCCUCAGUAAUACAUGUAUCAAUUAUGCUAAUGAAAUUUGAAGUCAUGUUGUUAUUCAAAUUCGAAUGGCCAGUGAAACGCUGUUUAAAAUCCUACACAAAAAUCUGUUCCAUUCCUUCCCCUAUUAACCACCACAAACCCGCAGAGUCCUUAAUUUUUAAUACUUCGUUUCUUUUACGUAUAAUGUUCGUCAUUGUUUGAAAAAACUCGGUAUUCUUAUCUCCCAAUUGAAGCCAGUUAAAUCUCGCUUUUUGAGCCCAGAAGAUUUCCUCAUUACUAAGAGCUCUAUUUAACUCAUUCCUUAACCUUGCCUAUUCGGCUAGCAAUUGGACAUUAUUCGGAUCCUCCAUAUUAUGGGCUUGGAUUACUUUAAGCUCAUCUAAUAACACAAUACUCUCUCGUGUACAUUGCCAAAAACCUCCUUAUUCCAUCCUCUAAUCAAAGUUUUCAGGGCCCUAAGACAUCCCCUCAAUUUAUCGUUGGGGUUGCCCUCAACUUCCAGGCACCAAGCUCUUUUAACCACAUUACUAAAAUCUGGGUGGUUCAACCACAUAGCCAAGAAUUUAAAGUCCAUUUGCCCAACAAUAUUACAGUGAUUCUUAGGGUGGCAAUCUAACAGAAUAAGGAUGUGGUCCGAUCCAAAAAUUGGAUAAUUAUGGAGACUAGCUUUUGAACAUAAAUUCAACCACGCUGCAUUAACAAGGCCCUAUCUAGCUUCUAACCACAUUGUCAUAAGUCAUCCCAUCCCUUCUCACACCACUUCGACCCCUACCAGCAUACCUACUUUUCCUAGAAGCCACUGUUGUCCAACCUUCACUAACAUUCUUAUCAUAUGACCUAGCUUGGUCUCUCAACUCCAGCUCUUCCUCAUCCUUAGCGUUCACUUCUUCCCCCACCACUGGUUGGGGAAACACUAACAUAACCCCUCUAUGCAGCUCUUGUCUGGUUUAUUCAGAAAUUUCAGCUCCUGUUGGAUAAACUAAUGACUUAUCCUCAAAUAAUCUAUCCACCAACAGCCAUACAUGCUUAUCCUCAAGGGUAGGGCACUUAUGACCUUCUGAUCGCCGCCGCCCAUAAUAAAAGCACACUUCAAAUAGCUUUUCAUAGCUUAGCAAGACAGGGCAAUCUUCCUGAUCAUUAAUAACCAUCACCCUUUUUAGCGGCAGCCUCAAGUCCACCUCAAUCAACACUCUCACAAAUAGUCCAUUCAAACCCGACAAAGAAUUCUCAUUUGCCCUAAUAAAGGUUCCUACAGGUUGCAUAAUGACCUAUAGAAUUUCAGCAUCACGAUACUUCACCAGAAGUCUAGGGAUACGAACCCAGACUCUGAGAGUAGAGAUCGUCUCCACAUCUUGAAAAAAGGUGGUCCACUUCUCCAAAUGGAAAAUUUGGCCUCUUACAUACCAAGGUCUGUUAUCCAAAACAUACUAUAUCUCUUCUUAAUCAGUGAACUCCACAGCAUACCACUGGUGACCAAAGUGGUCAAGGUAAAAAGGGUUUUUUACUUCCGAUCCCUAAGUAAGCCCUAACUUCCACUUAAUAGUUCUAGCUUCAAUCUGUUUCCCCACUAAUUUCCCCAUGAGCACCCUAGUUUCCAUAUGCUCUACCUUGAGGUUCGAAUAGAGGCUAGUGGACACCCUGGUGACUCCACUUUCUAAGGUAAAGGGACCCUUAAAACCCUCUACCACCACAAGAGGCUGACCCGGAUGAGGAGAGGUGAACCUAUUAACCCAUGACGAGAGUUUGGGACUGGAUGGGAUCCUAGGGUGUCUUGAGAACGAGGCUUCAAGUUGGGAAAUGAUAGUUAUUUUGAUGCUGAAGGUUAAAGACUUAGGAUAUAGAAACAAAUGACUGGUAUGCAAGCUCUUGAGUUGCACUUCAUAUAUAAACAUCAAGAUAAGAACGAUACAUGCAUACACUUCUAAGGGAAUAGCAAACGUUAGAAAUAAAACAAGCAAGCAUGCAACACAGACUAUUGAUGCAUAAUAUAUAAGCACACAAAUUAAACCCUCUUUUUAUCAAUUGUAGUAAAGUAUGUAAGUAGGGUAUCGUUCUAGGCCGGGGAUUAGGAGGGAUUGCUAAUCUAUUCUAAAUUAAUUUAGAAUUAUUAAACAAGACUCAAGGACACAAAACUAGGCUAAAAACUCUAAUAACUCGAAACACACUUAGAAUGACUCAAAAUAAUGAAAACAGUCAAAUUAGACACUAGGAACUGAAAUGGACGGAAAUUGAAUUAAAAGACUAACAACAAUGAAAAGUAACUAAAUAAUAUAAUUUAAUAAUGGGGGGGUUGGUUUUGACGAGAAGUAAAUUAAAUUUAAAUAAAUUACAGAAUUGACAAAAGCAUGAAAUUAAGGUGAAAGGAUAGGUGACAGACUAGCUAGAGGGUUCUUCUCCACACAUGACACAUAUGCAACCUAAAUUGAUUUUCAGUUGUUCUUUCAAUAAAUUGUAAAUCUCAACGCCCCAAAUUAACCGUGAAUUGCACUAAUUAACCCUCAGUUUUUUCCACAAGUUAUUGGGUUGGAUGAUUGCAUACGACAACCCAAAACAUUCCCUACAAGUUCCCUACAUGAAUUGCAUAAUAGAGAUACAAGCAAGAAUCAUUAAGUUCUAUAAAAAAAACAUAAGCAUUGACGAGGCACUCGUUACUAUGAUUUGCAUGAAACUUAUGCCAAGAAUUUACUUAACGUGAUUGUGACUAGCAACCUUCACUACUUGUGAAUAUAAGUUCAUAACGAUUAGGUGAAACUCUCUUAUAUUCUAGCGUCAAAUUCAUGCAUGUAAAUUAAGUAUGCAUUCUUAAUCGACAUACAAAAAUAAGCUAUCAAUCAAGCAGUUAAGCAAAUUAAAUCACAACUCAGAAAAUCACAACUGAAGGUAAUCAAUUCAUAUUACAAAUAUAUUCAUGGCUUUGAAUUAACCUCUAGCCAAAAUAAAUUUAGUUACACAUUAUUAAAAAAUUAAACCAAUAGUAAAAUAUCAGUUUGAAAAGAUUUAACCGAGAGAGAAGGCAGCUGUGUUGCUUCUGUGCUGGCGCUCAUGUAAGGCAGCUUUGCUGCUUCCUUUUCUUUACCCCGCACGCUGCCAAGCUGCAGCUUUCUGAUCUCUCGCUGCACAAGGCAGCAAAGCAAGCUUUUUUUUCUCCCCAGCUACCCACGGCCUGCUCUCUUCUCCCUCUGGAUCACGCUGCACAAGCGGCCUUUUUAUUCUUUUUAUUUUCUGCUCUCCAGUCCGUGUCCCACUUCUCUUCCGUCCAUUAGCUUCACCAACCCUAUUCCAUUCACAACAUGAAUCAUGAUGAUGUUUCAAACAUCAUUAUGACUUAUCAUUAUUAUUUUUUUUUCUUUUUAAUUUAAUUUAAAAGCUGAUCUACACAGACAGUUUUGACGAAUUUAUUACAUAAAAUUUCACUUGUUCUAUUUUUAUUUUCUUUGCAUAACAAAUCCUAUAAACACAAAAAAUAACGUAAAUAGCUCAAAAAUAUAAGGAACUAACUAAGAAAAGACGAGUGAAUUCGAAGUAAAAAUAUAUAUAAAUAUGAUCCGAUCAAAUACCCCCACACUUAACUUUUGCUAGUCCUCGAGCAAAACAAAGAAAACAAGAACAAGAAGUAACAAGAAAAACAUUAGCUUCCCCCUAUGUGACCCUCAUAGAAUUUCAUUCGAGAACACAAAUCAACAAGAACCAUAGCUAGCAUCAAGGAACUAAUCCAAGUUCAUCUUCCUUAAUCAAAUAUUAGCAGUAAUCUUUGAAUCAUCCUUGAAGUGUAGUGUGUGAGAUAGCCAUGCUAAAACAAUUUCAAAAUUUUUAUAUUUUUAAAAUCACCAUAUGCAAACUAGCAACCUUCUCACGGGAUAUACACUCAAUCACACAUGUGUUUAGUUUUAAUGUGUUUCGCUCAAAAAAUCAAAUGUGAAAUUUCUACCAUAAGCUUGCAUAAAGAUCACUUCUCCACAGUCAUAAUUGCAAAACUUAAAUCAAGAGGACUUUUAUUGGAUGUAAUGAGGUUUAGGGAUAGGGUUAUUGAAACGAUAGAAUAGGAAAACACAAGUUCCAAGCUACAUUGCAAGCAAUUCUUUUCUUUAGAUUUAUAAGAACUCAAGCUCUCCAGCAAUUCUUCUAGCACCUCCAACCACAACCUUAAACUGAAACUUUUAAAAACUUUUUAUUUCAUUUGUAUACAAUCUUUCUUUUUCUUUUUCUUUUCUUCUCUUUCUCUUUUUUUUUUUUAAAUACAAACAUGAAAAUACCCCCACACUUAUUCUUUUGCCAAACACCUUCAAAGUACUUCACAAAUGUUUCUCAUAAGACAAUCUCGCAUUGCUCGCUUGGAAAGGGUAAGGGAAAAUGUUUCAGGUAUAAGGGUAGACAUAUCUGGUGAUAAGAAAUAAAAGGCUCAACAUACACGGCUCAAAUUGGCAAUCUAAUGAUAUCAUUUUUCUUUUGGGAAACAUGGUUAUUUGGGCCAUAGUGGUAAACCUAAUGCCUCUAUCAUUUCCAAAUUCAUGCAAUCAAUGACAAACAUUUCGAAAGAUCGUUACGCAAGUUCUAGAGAUGUAUCUCACAUAAGUUCAUCACACAUGAAAAAAAAAAAUAGGAGUGUAUGAAAAAUGCACACACUUUCAAUAGGCUCAAAAACUCACAUAGGAUGUAUAUGGUCACUAAAUUCACAUAUGAAGCUUUAAGUCAUACUUUAGUUUCACAUUAACAAGGCUAUGUGCAUUUGGUUUUUCAAAGAUGGUCAAACAUGUACAAAACUAACAAGAGAAUUAGGAAUUUCACAAAACGCAUGUUAACUAAGUUCUUGAUAAUCAUGAUUCAAAUUUGAUCCAAUUAUAUCAUUGGGUCGGGAAACUAACAAAAAUCUAAUUCAUAACAAUAAGGGAAACAAGACAAUAUUUUUGGAUUUUUUAAAUUUUCCGAUUUUUUAAAAUUUUUUUUUAAAAGAAAACAAAACUAAUUAAGAAAACAAAAAGCAACAACAUGGAAACAAAUGAAACCUGUUCGUAGUUGAAGGUACAAAAAA